UUUUUUUUUUUUUUUUUUUGUGAAAUUUUAUAUUGCGUGCGUGCGUUGGAAGGGUAAUUUGGUCAAUUCAUGAAAUCAUCGGCAUCGCGCACAACGUGCCAAAUUUAAGCCCAAAACUGGGCGGUCCAACCCAACCCAAUUGUACUUGAUUGAGAAGCUUGUGACAGACCGCAUUCCCCACGCUACUCGAAAGGCCUGUGUUUCCAUCCAAAUAUUGGCCGCAGCUCCUAGCUCCGUACAACGUUCCAUUUGAAAGAAAAAUGUCUUCGAACUGAUUUGUUCCGUUCUUCCCAUCUUCAAAACAAGAACAGCGUGCAAGGCCAAAAAAGAAGAGAAAAACAGAAAACUGAAGCCAAAAAGCUCAGGAGAGGAUACUUCUUCUUAGCCCCAAAAAAUUCAGUUAACCCGCAAUUUGAUUUGAGUUCUGCAUCUCAAGAAAUCCAAUUACAACAGUAAUGUAGACCCAAAUUGGUACUCCAAUCAAUUUGUUGAGAGAGCUCCCAAAGUUUUAUGCCGAAGACCAUCAUAUUUAACCACCGCUACAAGCAGCCAUAAUAUGCGCUCUACCAGCGCCAACCAUGACCACCUAUUCACUACUAAAAAAACACUAAGAAGGGGGGGCAGCUUUGUUACAAGAGGCUAUGUUAGCACAAACCAUCAUUGCCUACUGGUGGUCGCACCAUAAGUCAAAGAGUCCCUCUCUCUCUCUCUCUCCCCGUUUCAUUUACAACAACAACACAUAUAUACAAAAAUUGCCAUGUGUUGAUUGCAGCAAUUGUAUCAUCCGCGCGUCAGGUCAAUCUCUGUCUGGGGAUUCCUCAAGUCUGGCCGGGAAACAGGAGGCCAACCACCUGCUCCAGAGUUUCCUGUAGGAUCCUGACCAGGAGCACCACUACCCAGUGCUGAUGACUUGUCUUCAGACUUGGGUACUAUGCUCUUGUCAUCUUUAUCACUAGCUUCUGAUUUGCUCUUUCCCUUGGUACCACCAUAUACAAAACUGCAGACCACGACCUAUACAACAUCCAAAAACCAACUUAAAUGAAAAUGUUCAUAACCUCGAAAACAAACACCAAGUGAUUAGAACACUCUUUAUCUCCCCCCAUGAUAUCAUCCUUCCUCAACCUCCACGGGGCAGCCAAAACACGAGGAGAAAAGGUAGGAAACACACGUUGAUGCCUCCAGAUUCAUAACAGUACCCACCCACUCGACUUACCAACAAGAUCCCCAUCAACAUAAAAAUUUAGGUAACAGAAGCUGCCAAAAAGAAGGUACUAAGCCGAGAAAGUACCUGAGCUGGGCUUGAGGCUAUAAGCCUACCCCCUAUUGCACCGCCAAUGACAUGCCCAUCAGGACUACAUACAGAUAUGCUAAGACCACCAGUCCUAUUACGAGGGCCACCACUUUCAGCAAGCAAAUAGGAACCAGACAAGCAUAAUAUCUCAAAACGGCCCUGAAAAAUUAAAUAAAAUAGAUGUCAUUGGUUUGCAACAGACACAAAUUCUCAGAGAAGAAAAAUCAUCACUGUUGCCAACAGCAAAGAUUUAUAAAAUUAUAUGACAACUGACACUUUAACCAUUAAAAAACAAUUAUAGACCUGCUAGCACGGCCAUAACCUAGAAAACUUGACGUUGUCCCCAAAAAAACAAGGCAGGGAGCAUUAUAAUUACGUCAUCCAAACAAAGUUUUACGCAUAAGACAAAGCACAAAAUUACACAACUUGAUAUGCAUAGAAAUUUAAGCAAGUCCAUGGAACAACAUGAUUUCUUUUGGGGGGUAAAUAAGCAUUUGUACACAAGGAAAAUGCAAACAAUAAGGCACAUAUUAAGGGUAACAGAAAACAACACACCAACCAACAAAACAUUACACAACAUCUGAAACUAAUCAAGCAUAAAAUCCGGUGUCUGGUAGUAAUCAAGUCCACUAAAGCCAACUGUUAGUAACCAAGUCCUCUAAAGCCAACUGUUUAUGUAGGACAUCUUAACUCUGUGUAGAGAGCAUACAACUUGAUGCAGCAUGAUAGAAAAACACAGACCCAGAGUGUGCACAUACAGGAUAUAUUCCACACAAAUAGCUUUACACAAUCUAUUCAGCUUAGAUAUAAAAGCUAUCCAAUAGAAAACAACAUUUACUAAUUAACUAUUCUGGAAUUGCCAAAAAGUUUGACCAAACAAAAACUUGAGACAAUAAAAAGCUACAUCCUUGUAUUCACAAGUGACCACCAAGUUCUUUAUACCUGCUUUGCAAAGAAAAAAAAAACUCAUGGGCAUGCUGUUUGGUUACUACCCAGAUAAGUACCACAAAAAGCCCAUGUUCAAGGUAGGACUGACAUUUUGUAGGACCCGAAUCCUUUUGACUUCUAAAAAAUGCAGAUUAUAUCAGGGUAUAAAUCAUAAAAAAACCUUUCUUGCUUUCCACUUCCCUCACCCCACAAACACCAAAUGAAUUGUAAGCCCCUUUCCACCACCAAAAUUAGCAUGUGAAAAAAAUCUUUCAGACCCUACAAGAAAAUAGUCAACAGAUAAAAGGCAAUACAUAUGAAAUUUGUUUUGCAAAACAAGCUCAAGCUUGAGGACACUUGACAGAAUGAAUGUGCAUUGUUUUUUUGUAGCUAUUGACAUUGAGUAACAGUACUACGAAAUUAACAUUGGAAGGUGCUUCUAGAAAGAAUCUCAAUAGCCAUCACUGGUUUUUAUCCCAGGGUCUGAAACAAAAGGCAUGUAGUUCUACGUCUAACGUAAAAUAAAAUGAAAAAAGAAGCAGCAACAGAAAAAGGAUUCAUUCUACUCCAUUUAUUUAUGUAGCUGACAGCAUCUAACAGAUGAAAAAUAAAAUUAAGCCAGCUCAACAUAAAAAGGGUUCACUCUUCUCCAUUUAAUCAUGCAGCUGACAGCAUCUACUGGAUGAAAAAUAAGGUCAAAAGACCUCGAGAAGACACAAAUAAUUAUUAAUAAUGACAACACCAAGAAGAAGACACAAAUAAGAUAAAGAUUCUAUCCCCGUGAUAGAGCAGUGAGGCUAGACGAACUGGGAUCAGGUUGAGCAUGUAGAAUCAAAAAAGUUAAAUACUUGGCAUCUAAAUGAACUCAAUUUCCACAAUUUUUCUGAAGUAAAGAUGGUCCACCCCCAAAACGUCAAUCUUUCCACAGAAACUGCUGCAUUUGAAUGAAACAACUUAGGAUGGGGAACAAGAAGAUUCCAUGUUAAUAGCAUGGCAAACAUAUUAUAGUGCAAAUGAUAAAAUAUUUUAUUAUAACUACAAAAAGGGUUCAUUUCAAUGUAGACCAUUUUUAAAAUAAAAAAGGCAAAAAAUUCAAAUGCAUGCCAAUAAAUAUGAUGAUAAAUCAUAAACCAUCACAGCAGACUUCACCAAAAUCUCCAUGUGUAUGUUGUAUAUUGCCUGUAUAAUUCGAAAGUUGAACAUCUCUGUCAAAGAUCACCAGCCCAUGGGCAAAAACUUUUACAAAUUAUAAAGAUAAGGUACAAAAAUGCUUCUAAAUUUGAGUAUAAGGCACUAAAAAAGCCUGAGUUUGACCUCAUAUGUUACAGUGCCACCAGAGGUUGUUGGCUGCCGGAGUGUUACAGCAGAUACCGAACCAUUAGCUGACAAAAUGCACAAAGCCCUUGGCCUCUGUUGUGCAAAUGAUAAUAUCUUUGCAGCAAUAUCCUGCAGUCACAUUACCCACAGUUGUUACUGAAGCAUGCAACUCAAAUUAAAGACAUAUACUAGAGAAGUUUUUAUCAACACCAAUAAUCCAUCCACUUAGCAUGAAUGGUCCACAAUUUGUGGCUUUGACAACAAGAUUGCAUCACAACAAUUGUAGUGAAGCAUGUUCUAUCAGCAAGAGUUGCAUGCUUAAACAAGAAUUUUAUAGAUAUACAAGACAACAUUCAGCUCAAUUAGAUUUCCACACCCAAAAAAAUGGAAUAAAACAAAAUAUAUAGAUCUCUAUAACUAGCUCAUAUUCAUACAGGCACCAUCCUCUUCCUUUUAAUCACUUUGAUCUAGAAACACUCUAGAUCAGGAUAGGCAACAUAUAAUGCAUAUUGGAGCGAACCAAUGCAUAUUCAAUACCUCUCCAACUCCAACAUGAAUGACAUGCGGUGUGAAAGCUAGUCCAGCAGUACUAUUCAUCCAAUCACCUGCCACCAAAAAUAAAAAAUAAAAACAAAAACUAUGAGCUCAAGAAAAGGGUGCCAUACUAUAAAAUCACAAUAAUUUAUCAAUGUCUCUUAAUCGGAACAUACAAUUACUAGAAAAGCAAUGCAAGAGGCUGAUCUAUAGGAUCUUAAGUUCAAUUUUGACCAUGAAAACUACAAUUUCAGUUGCAUCUACUACCGAACUAAGUAGCAGAAUAUUCCAUCAAUGUAAUUUUAGUUUCACUAAAGUCAAACUACAAAGCAGACAUAUACGCAUUUAUCAAAGACAUUGUAAGAAUUUGAAUAGGGAAAACUCCAUAAAAGACUCAUACUUUGAUUAAAAAUCGGAGAACAAAAACUAAACUUCCCACCUAGGACUCACGCAAAAAUCCCCAGUAGAAAAGCAGUUUCAGAAAUAAAGCAAGAGCAACCUGAAGAUCCUAUUUUGAAGUACAGUACUCAAUUAACCAACUAAUAAUAGUCUUAAGUCUCAUAUAGGCUAAAAUAAAACAAUGCAUAUAAAUACAACACGAAUUAAUCAAGAAAACAAAAACUUACCAAGUGGAGCCAAUCGCUGUUUCCAUCCACUACCAGGCGGCCGCCCCCGACUUUUUUUGGAGCCCCCAGGCGUGAUUGAUCCCGGGGAUGGCGUAGAAGAGAGGGGAGACAAUCCUAAAGCCAUAUUAGCCCCAGCCCCAUCAGGGCCAUACUUUCUAGGCCUCCCUCUCUUCUUCUUCACAGUUUCAACAGGUGUAACAGUAGAAGCCAUGGACAUAGUAAUGCCAUGAGCAUAACUGGGUGAAGGGUUCUCUACUUGGAAUGCGGAGCCCAUAGGAGCACCACCACCCCCUACAUUUGACUGCACUGAAAUGUUAGGGUUUGUAAGGGUCUUAUAACCAGGAGGUGCGGGCACCCCUGUUGGGGUCAUUGAGCCCCCACCCCCACCGCCCCCAACAACACCAACUCCUACACCAGACCCUGAAUUAGACCCACCAACCCCACCACCUCUAUUGAGGUAAUAUGAAGCCAUUCCUUCUCUUCCAUCCAUGCAUUUACUCAACGAAAUUUAACCCCAAAAGGACUCCUUUUUUUAACCUACUUUGCAAUAAAAUCCACACUUGCAAAACAAAAAUCCACUCUUUGAACAAACCUAGCCCAAAUCUAAAACCGACCCCCCUACAGAAAUCUGACUACAAAACCGAAAUCUUAACAGAGAAAAGAUACACCAUAACUUCAAAAAAUUAAUAAAUUAGAGGAAAAUCAGAACAAGGGUUUAACAUGGGUUUUGGAGAAAUCAUGGGAAAAAAGCAGACAAUUUUGGAAAGAGAAAUCUUCAAGUUAACACUCACCAAAAAAGUGUAAAAGAUGCAGCAAAACUGAAAAAGAUUGAAACUUAAACAAAAUUCUUUAGUUAAAGAUCACGGAAACCAGAGCUAAAUUAAGAAGAAUGCUGAAAACCCAUGGUUUCACAGACCCCCACAAAUGAUAGCUCAAAAUCGAUAGUUCUUGAGAGGGUGCUCAGAUAGAUAAAGAACUAAAGGAAAAAGAAAAAGAAACCCUAGAUUUGAAAUGGGGGAGAGGAAAUGAGAGAGAGAGAGAGAGAUGGGCAGCAUGAGUUUUGGGAAAGAGGGAGGGAGGGUAAAGACAAAAGUGAAAUGAAAUAGAAAAUACUACUGAACUUUUGAAUUAAAGUAAGAGAAGGCUAGGCUUUCUUUCUAAUUUUUUUUUUUUUUUAAAAAAGAAAAUUCAAAAUUGUAUGGUUUAACUUUUAUAAAAUAAUAAUUUAUGGAAAGGGUUUCAGGGGGCGAUUUAGUGAUCAGUGACGGUGUUUCUCUGACUUGAGGUCUUUGAGGGGUGGAGGCCUGUUGGAGGACAGUUGGGUGCACCUAAGGACUACCAACUUGUCCAUAUCAGAAUACUACUGCUACAGUACUGGUACAUGAAAUUUCUUGGGACAGGGUAUCCUUUUCUUGCUCUUUAUUUGAAUCUCUCCACUGCCUUCUUCCUUCUUCUGAUGAAUUUAAUGAGAACUUUCUUUUUGUGGGAUUGCUUCGCGCUGCUUUUUGGACUUGGGAUGGAGCAUUCAUUGACAAGAGACCAGAGUAUGACUGAUGAGAGAGAAGGACGCUUCUUGUGAGUCACCCAUGAGAGAGAGAGAGAGAGAGAGGAGAGAGUUCAGAGUUGAGUCAAAAGAAGUUUGAAAAGAAAGGAAAAAAACAAACAGGGGCUGAAACAUUUGAUGAUGGCAAGAAAUUUGGGCAGUAGUUCACUUCAAACCAAAAAGAAAAUAUGAUCAAUUCAAUUCCCCAUCUCAUAAACAGUUGUAAAAUCAAAUAUAAACACUCGCUCAAGUUUAGAUCAAGAAGAUUUCUCACAAAACAAAACAAAACAAAAAAAUUCGACGAAUACUUGUACUAGCAGUCCGAGAUAAGCAUAUCUUGAUUAAGAACAGCCAUGAUUUGACUGAAGAAAGGGGUCAUGCUUUUUCUUCUUGUACUUGUUGUUGGAGGAGCUCUCUAUGCUAUUGCGAAUGAACUAUACAUUUAUUUCGCUUAAUUGACAAAAGAAUAAAAAAUUUACAGUUAGUUUGCUAACGAGUAAUUAUGAUGAUCCUAGUCAAAUUCGUUAUGCAAAAGAAGUCAAAACUCUUUUGAUUAAAUAAAAUAUAGCUGCAAAAGUAGGUAGCCGAAGGAGAGAACAGACGUUAUCCAUCCCUCUGCCAAACAUGCAAGAAGUUCGACAUUUUGGAAAUUGUACCGGGAAGAUUCAUUUUCCCAAUUCAAAAUUGCGUCAAGCACUCAUUUUUUUCCCCAAUUUUAGUACUCAUUUUGUAUUAUAGAUAUAUAGACUAGCUCAUUUCUUCUGUCAAAUUUAUUAGUUCAUAUUUUGUUGAGCACAACAUGAGAAUAGUUCGGGUCAGCAGGGGUGGGCAAAAUUAUCCGUUAACCCGAAAAUUCAUAAAAUUAGGAUAUUCGAUUUUUAUUAUUUGAUCGGGUCAAAAGAGAGUCGGAUACCGCUAAGAUGCGGGACGGAUUACGGUCACAUAAUUAAAAACUCGCGGGUACCCAAUCCGCCCCGCAUAUAUAUAUUUUUUAUUUUUAUUUUUAUACACACACUAUAAAAUAAUAAUUUAGAACUAAAUAAGUAAUUUUAUUGAACAAAUUGCAUUACAAAUAUGAGAGACUAUAAUUUAUUUACAAUAUUCAUUUGUAGAGGUCAUGAUCUUAUAUUUUAUAGAAAAAAAGUUUAAUUAAUGUGAAACAUAUAUAUUAAAAAUUGUAUCACUUAUUUCAAACUUUUAUUGAUUUUGAAUUUUUUACCUUUAUCUUAUAUUUUCUUCACAUGCUUGUUUGUUAGUGAUAGGGCUGCAAACGAGUCGAGUCGAGUCGAAUUUUGAGCUAAUCGAGUCAAGUCUCGACUAAAUUUUAUCAAGCUCGAGCUUGACGAGCCGGCAAAUUUCGAGCUUGAGCUCGACUCGAAUCAAGUCGAGCCGAGCUCGAGCUCGAAAAAAAAUAAAAAAUACUUAUUUUAUUUUUAAAAAAAUAAAUAAAAUAAUAUUUUUUCUUAAUAAAUAAUAAAAUAUUAAGGAUAUAUACGUAAUUUUAUUAUGAAAAUAAAAAAUAUAUAUAUACUAUACGUAAUUUUAUUAUUAAAUAAAAAUAAAAAUAAAAAAUAUAUAUAUAUACCCAAACUCGCGAACCGGCUCGCGAGUUAACGAGCUUAAUAUUCUGAGCUCGAGCUCGACUCGAGCUUGACUCGAGCGGCUCGAUUCGUUUGUAGCUCUAGUUAGUGAGAAACCUUUUUUGAGAAAAAAAAUUAUUAAAUUUUAGAUGAAUGUCUAAAAUAUAAAAUUAAAUUAAUAUAAAUAAUUUUUUAAAAAAAUUAAAUGAUAAAUGAGACGAAACAGGUACCCGCUGACCCGACCUUAUCUCAAUGAGUACCCUAUAAUCGGGUACCCGCUGAUAUACGGGACGGAUAAAGGUCAGAAAAUAAUUGACCCGCAAAAUACAAGUCGAAUCAAUCAAAUGAUGAAUAGAGCGAGUACCCGACCCGUAUCCACUCAUACGGUCAAUAGAGCGAGUACCCGACCCGUAUCCUAAUCCUACAAUCCUAAUGUGAAAUUUUUAAAAGAAUUGACAAAAUCUCUAAGGCCAUUAAUCAGAGUCGAGUGUCAAGUGUAACAUUUAUGUAACACGAAGACAUUUUGUGCUCUGCACUAUCAUAAAUGAUGGGAUAUGGGCAGCACAGUUGACCGAUGACCGUUGACCGCUGCUUUCCAAAGAUGAUAUCUAAUAGACUGUCUUUAUUGUAGUGUACGAGCAGUAGCAUCUCCAUCCAGGCCCAGUCACGGGGGUGCCCGUACCGAACACAAAAUGACACAUGGUCAUCUUAGUCAAGCGUUCAGGCAUCUAUGCUUGCUUAAAAUUUAAAACAUGUACUAUAACAGUAGUGCAUUUCUUUGGUUUAGAAGUGAGAUGUACUCCCCCGAAUUUCCUUUGGCCCAAUUAAACGCCCUAGCACUGAUUAGACACCGAUCUACGUAAAUUUGUCGAAGCUUGAAAGUUUUUCUACAUCAAGAAUUUCACUAUUUUGCCAAGUUAAAAGGGUCCCAAUUUGAGCACUCCAUUACAAUUCUGGUCCUAAUUUGAGCGCAGUCCAUUAUAGUUCUGGAUUAGACCAGUAAUAAUGACCAUAUUUCAUGUAUCCUCCGCCAGUAAGCCAUGCAAAAAGAUCGAAUAUGGAGGCAUCUUCCAUCCCCACCGGCAAAUUGGAAGCACUAGAUAUUUCUCAUAAACUCAGCAUUCAGACUGUAAUAACUCUAUGAUAGCCCCGUUCUUCAGUACUACGCUACAUACACUUGACCAAGUUGCAGAAGGCCUACUGCAAAAGAUGUGUGAUGAUGCGUUCCCACCGAAAGAAUCAGUGCUACUCUUAAGAAAAUCUUACUUGGUCGAUUCUGAAGUGUGACUUCUAUUCACGAAAUCCAAGUACCCCUGUCAAAGAUAAGCACUUAAAUUAGAUCCCAAAAUGAAACAAUGAAACAUCUAAUUCAAUCGCAAACAAAUCAAGUAUAACUAUUGUUUCAUAGCUAAUGGGAAAUAGGACCAUUAUGGUUUAGAUAUAAACAUUCAACAUCUGAAAUGCUCCUAAUUUUACCCAAUUAAAGGAUAUCGCAAUAAAACUAAAAUACACUGCAAUUAUCAAACUGGUAGCUCAGGAAGGUUCCCAUGAAGACGAAAAGACUUGGUAACACAAUACACUGCAAUGAUCAAGGUAUUUUUUUGUUUCCUUUUUUCCUUUAACGCAGGGGAGGAGUGGAAUUUAAGAAGCAGGGAGUGCGAACAGGAAUUUGAACUCAGGACUCUGAUUCCUAAGGCCUCAACCUUAGCCUCUAGACCUAGGCUUCCUUGGCACAAUAAUCAAAAUGGUAACACUGCAGAGUUAUCUGACCAGAAAUUGCUUCUUACCUCUUACACAGGCUAAUCUACCAAACUCAGUCAUACUCUGCAGUUUAUAUAAUCAAAACUUCAGUACAAUGGGAAGAUUAUUGUGACCUGUAGGAUUCCAACAGCAGCAAAUUUGUCCAUUAUUGUCUUAUAAUGAACAGGGUGCAAAUUCAGUGGCUUCAACAGAAAUUCCACAUUCUGCAACGAAACCAUUCACAUUAUUAUUAUUUGCUAAUGCCACCAUUAGAUGAAAGGGCUAGAAAAGAUGAGGCUAACUAUCUACAAAAGAAGAAAGAAGACUAUCAAAUCAGUAAUAUCAAGAUGAAACACAUUUCACAGUUUUGCAAUUCCAGAUCUGAUAGAUUCCUUCAAUCUGGUAAUACAAUCUAAGCAUGACUAUAUCCAGAAUGAAGAUUUGCAUUGCAAUUUUAAGUACCAACAAGGAGGUUGCAAACAUCUAAUGAUUAGGAACCAUUUCAUGCUAUCAACUGCUUCCCUUGAUAAAGGCCAUUCAGUAUCAUAAAAUUACUUCUUCAAUAUCAGCGGUUAGAAGCACCCACCUUUGAAGUAAAACACUCAUCCCAGAAAGUAUACCUUACACCUUCAAGUUUCCCUGUUUUACAAAGAUCAUCAAUAAAAAGCUUCACUUGCACAGCCUGCAGGAGAGAACAAUAAUGAAUCAGGGGAAGACGAGCCAUUAUACUUGUGAAGAGAGAAUCCAUAUCUUUAUAUUUCACUGAAUAAGAUAUAGUUCACUGGAAGAAAAAGAAGAAGAAGAAUAAGAGGAAAACACACAUCUGCGCUGUUCCUCUGUUGUCUAUCAAAAGGAUAGCCAAUUACAAAGCCUGUCAGGGAAAGUUGAGAGAUCUGCAGACAGAGAAAGCAUAUAAGAAAUGAAUCUAAAUUUCAUCAAAAUAAUCUAGAUAUUCAGGUUAUAAAAAUCCACUAUGCAAUUAGAAGCAAGAGUGGCAUCAUAAUCCAUGUAAAUGUGAAAGAUAGAAACUGAAGGAUUGAAUCUUUUGGUUCACAAAGUAUGCAAUUCAUAUUGGUACCUUCAAAAAAUUCAGAAGGAAACAAAAGUGCAGAAGGCAAAAAGGCAAUAUCAUUAGUUCUUUAUGUUUAUUCCAUGAAACAUCUUAAAGUAAAAUAGGUGUAUUCCCCCGAAGAAUAUUCAUAUCAACAAAUUCAAACAGCUCUGAAAACAAUAAAUCAUAAAAUUAAAACAUCUGAAACAAAAUAGUCAUGCCAAAUCUUAGGACUGUGAUCUUAAUUGAACAAUUUACCGUCAAAAGCACAACUUUUCCAUCAGUGAUACAAGUUAUUUUUAAUGAUCAUAGGACUAAUACAACUCACUCCAUCCACAGUUUAAAGCAGCAUCUCAGCAGUAAAAGCAACUUGCCAUAGGUGCUAGCUUAAGGAUGCUUUCAUUCGAGAAGAUAGUGAUGAAUAGUUUCUUCAGUUAAAUUCAGUGAGGCACCUCUAACAAUAGAAGCUUAAUAAAAUUACUCUAACAACCCAAUACCCAAUUGGAAAAAUAAUCCAAAAUAAUCAUCUUUAAGUCAAAAGAUCCAAAAAUAAACUCUACCCACUGUCUUGCUCAGUGCAGAUGAGUUAGUUAAAUAAACAAAAAGAACAAUAAAAAGUUAAUACUAACCAGAAGUUCAAAAUCACUGGCCAUCAAGUCAAUGUUACUUUUCUUCCGUAGCAGAACACUGCAACCAGACGUCAACCAUGUUCAUCCCAUGCAUUGUAAAAUCAUAGUGAACUACUCUACAUUACUUUAAAAAUGUUCUCGGGUCCUCCGACGCAUUCAUUAUAAUCAUGGAAGACCGCAAUUCUUAAGCUCCUAGAUAGGCAAAUAUUACCUGAGAGGUGAUGCGAUUUUGUUAUUUACAUCAGAAACAGCUAAACCCACAUAUUUAUCACCGACAUCUAAACCAAGUAACCGGCUUCUGUUCCGUGAAUUUGUCUUUAUCAGUUCUUGAAACAAGUUCGCGGGCUUCAUGUACUUCAUCCCUGUAAUGCAUCAAAUUCCAUAGUGCAACUUUAGAAAACACCUUCUAAAGUAAAAGGGUAGAUUAAUGAGUUAAUUCAAGAAAAGUAAAGUAGUAGCUAAAACUAUUCUGAGCAGUAAUCAGAAAAAAGAAAAACAACCGAGCAACUUCAGAUAGACAUUUUCACAAACACUUGGUCCACUAGCAUACUUGUUUUAUAAGGGCUUCGGGAGUUGGGACUCUCUCUCUCUCUCUCUCUAUCUCUUCACUUGUGUACAUGUACGUAAAUCGUAGUGUUCGGAAAAGAAGCGGGAGAGAUUUACCUUCAUAUGGAAAAUGCAGCCCAGAGCCUGAAAUUAUACGACCAGUUUUCUGGAGAGGGAGGAUGCACUAGUUGAAAAUCGUUUCUUAAAACAGCUGGAAAAAAAAAACAAAAGAAAUAAUUUCUAGUAGGCCUCUAUGACUAUGAGAUUGAAGGCGACCGACACUAGGCUGAUUGCAAGAGUGGAUCCAUGGGGAUGAAGUGCCCAAUGGGGCAUUUCAACUGGCUCAUUCGCUAGAACCAUGUUUGGGCUGCUAAGGGCCCAAUAGGUCCAAUACGGCUAAUUUCCUCUUAUUUUUAUUUUUCCUUUAUUUAUUUAUCUAUAAAAAGUCCGAUUUGUCUUCGGGUUUAUUUUUGGUUUUCGACCAGGAUUGAAUUACUUGAUUGAGUAGUUUGAUUGGUAUACCGCUCAAAGGAAAAAAAUCGAUUCAUUUGGUUUGACCUUGCCUGUUAUAAUAGAAUAUGCACCUGCAAGUAUAAAUAUAUGAAAUACGUGCAGAACUUCAAAUUCAAAUGCAAAUUAUGACUAUGCAGUAUAUAUCUAAACUCACUAAUAUAUAUAUAUGCAUUGUAAAAAAGAUCGACCAUAUUCAUUUAUGUAUUGAAUUCUUGUAACUACUUAUUACGUAUAGGGGUUUCAACCACUAAGUAUUUUCAAUGAUGAUUGAAAAUGUAAAAUCAAACGAAGAAAGUGCACUAUCAACAUUAAUGCAUACCACGUUACAUAUAGGUCCAUUUGGGAUUGCGGGCGUUUACCCAAAAAAAAAAAACACAUUUAAACACAAAGUAUUUCUAAAGUGUUUGACAACUAUGUAUUUCCCAGGCCAUAACUUACCAGUUUUUGAUAGCUUAAAAACAAUUAUGUAUGAUGAAAAACAGUUUUGGUAGAAGUAGCUCUAUAAGAAGUAUUCGCAACUCCAAACGAAGUCUAAACUAGCAUAGAAAAUUUGAGUUUUGAUUUUUGUGUCCUCAACAUUAUAGCUAACUUGACAUGGAAUGUCCUAAUAAGUCAUUGUUCAAAAAAAGGAAGCGUAAAAAAUGGCCCUCUAUUUUAUUUUCUAUUCUGGGUUAUCUAAAGACUACGAAGUAGAUAAAAAAAAACAAGGAGGAGGAGGGGUCGUGUAAGAAUCAAUUGAAUCAAUUGAAUGAAAUUGAUGUCUAUCAACAAUAUCAGCUAUUUCGUACAUAAAUGAAUGGAGAGAGGCUCUUGAGCUCUGCACGUUUUCGUGCCAGUCUUCUGAAAGGCUUUCGAUUUCUCCACAGCAAUCUUUCGAUACCACUUGCAUGCCUCGAGGCAUCCUUUAUUACUGGCACAUGACUUUUUCUACUGGAUUUGGUGCUUCCUGACUUCUUUCUAAACUCUGUGCGACUUGGAGAAGGCGUCUGGGGCUCUUCCACUCUGCCACUGGUAGAUCUGCUGAAUCAUCCAAGAAAUAGAAUCAACAUAGAUUAUCAGCAUCAGUGAUGACAAACAUCACGAUGACAAAACUAAAGAAUCAAUCGUCUUUCAUUUAUUCAUCAAGGAAUAAUGACAGCUUUUUGCCUGUAACAUCCCAGAGCAACAAAUUGCACAUAUAAAGAAAACACUCCAAAAGCUCCCUCCAAUAAAUGGGAUGUAUUAAGAGCACUAGGGACUUGCCUCUCCUGAGUCAUCGGCGUCGACGAACACGCAUCUUCUCCGGCAUGUGAAUCACAUGCUGGACACAUGUAAGUCUUUGGCGGCGGCGAGGAUAAUUUGAUGCAAUCAAAGUGAUACCAUUCGUCACAAUUAUCACAGGCAAUCAUUGCUCGUUGAUCAUACGGUCUUCGGCAAAUACAAUAAAGCAUGCUUCGAUCCCUCAGUAACUGCAUGAACCGAGCACAAAGAGUGUAAGAGCAAUACAAAAUAGAGGAUGCGACCGCUCAAAAGAAAAAGAGGUGCCUACGUGCUCUCAAACACUUGUUUCUUGUUACCUUAAGUUCCUUUUCACAGACCAAUGGUAGAUCUUCACCCUGGGCAAUUAGAUCAAAAACUUUAUCAAGUCCCAGUGCUCCACCAUCCAUCGAGACCUAUUGACAGGAAGACAAUCAGCAAUUGCACAAUAAAAAGUAAAACCAUCCUAUAAUAUGAUACUACAGCAAUAUGCCAGACCUUCUUGGCUGUAUCAGCCCAUUGCAGGCCAAUAUGCUUCACUUCUGUUAGUCUCCUUGUAAAGUAAUCUUCUGGAGGAACGUCUAUCGCCAGACCCUGGAAAAAAAACAUAAAAUGUCAUCACUUAUACGCCUAUGAUCAUGAAUGGCAUUCUAGCCAUAAUUCCAUGUUUGUGCUAAAGUAGGGCAAUAAUUUUGUAUUUGCACAAAACCAAGGUUUAUAAUAUGUCAGUACAAAAUCAUUGUCAUCUUCAGUAAAGUUGCAAAAAACAUGCUAUAUGAAUAACUUUCAGCAAAGUUGAUAAGCUCCAAUCCAAAGAGGUCAUAAUAGUCUUCAAAUAUUCUAGUCAAGUAUUAGGACCUUGGUAUUCCUGAAAUUUUGUCCAACCCAAUUGCAUGAUAUCUAUUUAAUCCAUGCUUACCACGAGAGUUGAUAUUCUGAUCAUGCUCAUGAAAAUCUCAGGAAAUUGUAUCCCCAUUUUUACGUAAUCAUGCACAACUAAAAACAGCCCAUAUACCAGAGAACACAUAAAUAAUCAUUCAGUUCAUCAGCGCACAAAGAGAGAGAGUACACAAAUGCUAAAAGUUACAUUACAGAUCUCAUGAAACAAUUAAAGGGUUAUACCUCUUUCAAGUGCCUCUGGACUUGUUGCAAUGAGGGCUUUUGUGGACCAUUUAAUAAUUUCUGUGCUCUAACCUUCCAUGAAUUUCUUGCUAAUACAAGCUCAAAUUUGCUGUUGCCCUCACCAUCACAAAUGCCAGCACUAUCUAAUGCCUAUGAAAGAUGGAAACUGCUCCAAUCAGAAAUACACAAAAGAAUACAAGGCAAGGAUACCUUGUAUUUACCAUGACCAUGAUCAAAAGAAGAACUGAAAAAGUGGAUGCUAUCAAAUACAUGGGACACCCACUAACAGAUGUCUAAGCAAAUUAAGUUGAGAAGUUGACAGUAUAAGAUGAAAUGAUGAGAACCUUCAACGCGACCACAAGUUUAUCAGAGAAACCACUGAGAUCUCUGUCUUGAUAAGAUAAUGCAUAAUCUACUAUUUCCCUUAAGCAAGCCCUGCAUUCAAGAGCUUUCUUCACAAUUUGGUCAAGUACACUUCUUUCUUCAAUCCUGUCAAUAGCAUAGCAUUGUCACUGACUAAGUUCAGAUUAUUGCCUUUAUCGUGUAAAUAAAACUGACCUUGACUAAGAAUGAAAAGUGUUUCAAAGAUAUAAAAUAACUUCAUAAAACAACAGGAGACCUGAAAUAGGGAAAAAGGCUAGCCAAAAAAGCACGUUAUACAAUAAAGCUCUCUGUUUGCAGAGUAGAUUAUCUCAGAAACAGGAAAUACUAAGUGCUACCUCUAGAAUAUGGAAGAAGCUCAGGAAAACAGUUUAUCAAAUUUCACAAAAAUUAUGACAUCUAGAUGAAAAUCGAUACACACAAAAAUAAAACACGUUAAGAGAAAUUACCAUAAACAAAGACCCUCAGCAUCUGAUAAAAGCUCAAUGAGCUUAUUCAAAUCAGGACAUUUCCGCCCAAAUCUCUGCACAAUUUUAAAAAAAAAAACACUCAGAAAGGACUUAGCACUGCAUGAACAAACGUGCUUUGACAGAACAUUAUUCGUACCAGAAUGCCACAUCUGCUCCUAGAGAUUUUUCCACUUCUCACAAACAUGCAGUAAGGGCAAACAUAUGUUGUAUCACUUUUUGCAUCUUCAAGUGAUGACCCACUGCACUGUAGGUGAAAACUGUAUACAAUAGCCAAGGGACAAGCUGAAAUCAGAAGUUUUUAGACCUAGACAACUCAUAAAGAUAUUCCUUAUUUAUUUCUAAUGGUGCCCUUCCUCCCUGGUCCCCAGAAGAAAGCAAAUUAUAUCAAUAUUAGAGUAGAAACCAAAUCCCCAAGAAAGAUCAUGAAAAAAUAUCCCCAAACAGCUCUUUUCCAAAGUGAAGCAGGAAUGUUCAGUCAUCACUAAGCAACCGGGAAACUAACCAAUCGUUGCAAAUAUAGCAAUUAACAAGCUUCUGAUCAUCAGAAUUUUGGGAACAACAGAUGCAUAAAGCUGUUGUUUUGCAGCAGUUAAACUUGUUGUAGAUGUAGAAUGAUCUAUCAAGACUUUUCUUUAUCUGCAAAAUGUUUAAGAGAAUCCACAAACAGUUAGAAAUGAAAGCAUAGGUCAGUAAAUUAUUAAACGUGACCAGAGAAGUAUGACAAAGCAUGAAUUAAGUAAACCUCUAAAAGACUUGAAGUCAACAAAUUUGCAUCGCCAGCAGAAGCCCCAGCAACGUUCCUGCAAUGCUGCUUCCACUGCUCUACCUUUUGCACUUCAGCCAAGACCAUGUCCAGUUCUAGGCAAUUAAAUGCGUUGGUGCUUCCAACUUCCUAAACAUGCAUCCAUUAGAUAAUCAGUGAUUAACCACCAUGAGAUAAAAAGCUAUGCUAAAAUCCAACACUGCAAACUCUGGGUACCACCUGAGAGGGUAAAUGGCCAAAAUUCAAGUUCAACUACAAUGCAAGCUUAGAGGGAACAGCAGGUUACCAUGACAAGGUCAUGCCAACUUCCAAAGUUUGGAAGACUACAUGUACAUGCUCAUAUAAGCAUACCUUGCAAAUGCACUAGAUUUCUGAAAGCUAAGCAGAGAAUAAGGUUCAUUACUUUAAUGCCUUUAGUAUCACAUAACAUUGAAAACAAAACAAGCAUAACCAGGUCAGACAGAUGAUGUUACAGAAGCAGGGUACUGCAUGGGAAAAUCCAAGAAGUUUGUGACUGCAAGGAUAGACUCCGCCCCAGCAGAAUAAGAUAAACCAAAAUAAUAGAAUACAUGACUUUUUAAAAAAAAAAUUCAUUUAUGUAUUUUUUUGCGAAUGAUGAGGGAUAGGUAUUUCUGGAAGUUGAAUUAAUCAAGAAACAGUCUUUUUACCUUUAAAUGCAGCAAUGACAACCAUGAUCUAUCACUGCAGUCCUGGUUGAAAAACAAAUGUACUCGCUCCAGCCACAAGCUACAAACAGCCGAGUUCUCAUUAAAGCAUAAACAGAUUGACAAAAACCAACAGAAAAACUAAGAAAGAAUUCAAAUGACAGAAUCACGCCCUCAGAUUAGACGGGGCUGCUUCUCUCUUCAUUUUUCUUCACUGAAGGCAGAUAAUCAAACAGGUUUUUUCUUAACAAAAAAUUGAGCUUAAAUUAUGCGGUAACUUUUUUGCUUAACAUACUUUGAGUUUAAAUUAUGCUAUAACUUAUCUUCUUCAAUUCCUACUUGUUUAAGAAAAAAAUUUGUUGAACAUUAAAAAAAAAAUCCUCCUCAUUAUGUUUAAGUUUGUUUCUACAGGUUUGCAAGGAAAAGAAUUUAGAUGAUGCUGGCCUUAACAUAUCAUUGACUCUACAAUAUCUAAACUAGUGCAAGGCCAAAUGGUGCAAUUGUAAAUGCUUAAAAAGGUUUUAAAGUUUCAAAUAUUCAAUAAAUUCAGAGACCAAGUUCUUCUUCUCUUUCUUUCACUUUUUCCCUUUCGAACUUUUUGAUCGGAAUGGAAAGUGACAAACAACAAAGCAGUUAACUAGGAAAGCAAAGAAUGCUCAAAAUAAAGAAUCAAGCUGAAGACACACAGAGAUGACAAAUUUAAAAGAAAGACAAAGAUGGGGGAGGUUCUCUGGUUGCUGAAAAUGGGGGAGUAAUCCUAAACUGCAGAGUACCGCUGCAUAUCUGUCAAAGCACUGUUUUUAUAAGAAAGUGGAAGUAUAAAUGUAGUUUAGGCAUUAGUUAGACAAUUGCAGGGUGACCUUCAAUCAGAUAAACAAACCUCCGUGAAGCCCACUAGUUUUGAGCAAACAUCUCCAAAAUUUCCAUGAAAGAAACAAAGGAGAAUCCCAAGGGGCAGGAAAAUCAUAAAAGGCUUUCUUGUUGGGCUCACAGAAGUAUCUUUCUAUCCCGGGGGCAGGAAAAGAUAAAAUGUGGUCUCAACUGUUAAGGUGAUAUUGAUAAGACACCUUUAUAGAGCUUCCCCAGGGUAAUUCUUCAGCGAAGUACUAGUAGCAGAAACUCUUUUUUGAGAGCAGGGUCUAAUUUCCUGAAAUAAAUUCUAUGUUCACAAGGCUUUCUUUUUCGGGUCUCUUCACCAUCUUUUCAUUCACCAAACUACCUCAACAGGAAUUAUACUACAUGCACAUUGAACUAUCGCAAGCAACAAUAGUGCAAUUGAUUAUAUCACAGAGAUCAAAGAAUUUAAGAAAUCCAGCUGGUGGAAAACUAUUAUUCUCAUCUAAAUUAUAGUUUCAUGCUUCUAUUCAGAAUUCAUAAAAUAUAAGCUUUAACCUCGGCACAAAAUAAGUACACUAACAAAAUAAAGCAUCUAGACUAUAGCUUUUCUAAUUACAUAUAGCUAAUACACUGUCAAAGGAGUAUGAACAUAAAAGAAACUCACUUGUGUUUCUCAACAGCUUUCUGAAUAUGACCAAUCAUCAAAGGGAACGAGACAACAGUUUUCUGCAAUUUGACACAUCAGAUUAUACAGGGUACAUACAGAAACACGCAUGAAUUGAUUACCCAGAAAUGCAGAAAACACAGAGGUAACAUCCGAACCUAGCAUGAUACCUGAGGUGCAACUAGAAAAUGUUUGCCAUAAAUAUAUAGGGGACAGAUCUAUGAAUACAAGCUUCUACAAACCCCUAGGAGAAUACUGCACACCCCUUCUUAAUUCCCGUUAAAUGAGCCCAGAUGCGAUGGAAAUUGUUUCUAAACGAGGUAGAGAAAUAAACAAGCACGUCAUAUACCUCAGACAGCUCAAGAACUUCCACAGCAUCACUCAACUUGAUCUGUCUACUGCUACAUGGAGGGAGAAUUUCCAAGGCUUUCCUAAGCCAAUCUAUUCCACUAAAUAGUGAGGUCCGUAAAGCACAGGAUGCAAAUGUCACAGGUAGAUGGUGGGAAUCCUCCAAACAUGCCUCAGCUUCCUAUAACAAAAUUUAGAGAUGUAUAACCUUAAUGCAUUGGCCAUAAGAACAUGUGAACAAUAAAAUCAUAAAUGCAAUCUUGUGGACAAAAAAGACAUGUUAUAACCUAAAUAGUAAUCACAAUUCUUGAAAUCUUAGAUAUAGGCAAGUCAUCCAUGUUAAAAGAUGGGGAAUAACCAAAAAGGAAAAUAUGCAUCAUCACCAUCAACCAUGACAUAAUUCAUCAAUCUAAAACAGAAAAAAUAUGACCAACUUUGCUGCUUUUAAAGAUAUGAAUAUCCAAAAUCCAACCUUUUUGAAGGUUUGAGCAAAAACCCAGACUCAACCCACACUUUAGCAGCCACCACUUGGCUCCAGCUAAAAAAAAUAUACUAUUAACAUGCACAAAUUUUUUUUCUCCAUUAACAUUUAAAGUAUCACAAACCUGAAGCGUGGGAAUAACAUUCCAGAAAGAAAGAGCUUUAGAGCACCAUUGAAGCGUAGAACAUGCAUCUUGCAGUUUUGGCAUAGCAGCAAACUCGAAUUUAAGACAUAGACCAGCUUGAGUGAUGGAUUUCAAUAACAACAAUUGACUUUCAAUUUUUGAAACCAGACUACCAGAAAUUCCACAAGGCAUAACAUCAGUAUUCAACAGAGAAACUGCAACAUUCAGCAAGGAAUAGGCAUUUUGUUCCCACUCCAUGCAUUGUUUUAGAAUUGUUUGAAGCAUUUCUCGUUCUUUGAGAGAUAUCUUCAGAAACUUUGAAUCUGAAACCAACUCCUGGAAAAUUUUAUGGAGCAUCAGAAAGCAUCCAAUGUCUAGACACCCAAAAGAAGAAGAGAAGAUAUUAAAAAAAAAAAAAACCUUUAGGGUAUCAAGUUGGAGCAAAGAACUUGAGGCAUGUGAAACAGAUGAAUCAGAAAACAAAAAUGGCUUGGAUUUGCUCAACCAGGUCUUUGUCAUUGACAUGGCAUCCUUAACAUCAUCAAGUGAAGGGAGAAUAACACGUAUAUCUUCAGAAAUCCUAAAUUACCAAGUCAAAAAAUUAAAAAUGAAAAUAAAAGAGUAAAAAACAACUGAAUAGAAUAGUAUACCAAGAAAUAAAACCUUAAAAUAUCCUCAAAUUCAGACAUCCCAGCCUCCUGAUUAAGAACAUCUUUUGCUUUUUCUUCCCAAUGCUUAGCAACUACAAGCACCGCAGAAAUAUCAACAAAUGGCUUCUCUUUUUCAAUCUGUAGCCUGACAUAUGUUGGAUAUGAGAUUUACAAAAUUAGCAUGCAAAUGAAAUAACAUAUAAAGUCUUCCAAGUUUCUAAGGAAUAUAAGGAACAUACAUAGUUGCUUCCUCCAUCAAUUCCUCAAGCAAAUUCAUUUGCACUUUAGAUUGAAGUGCCUAUACAAAAUUUUACAUACUUUCAGUGAAUUAAUAAACUAAAAGAAAGAAACAAGUAAAGCUCAAAUAAAAAUGCCAGGAACUGCAAAUUGAGAAAAAAAAAUGCUGAGUAGAGUGCAUAAAAUGGGCAGGUCAACAAUCAGAAAUCAUAACCUAAAAAUUUGUUUUCCCCUAAAAUGGGGAAUAUAAAUGAGGUUAAAUUGCUGAAUGCAGGAUUAAACACACAACACAUGAGGAACUAAUGAACCAACGGAUAUUCCACACACACACACACACACACACACAAAGAAUGGCAUAUGGAGAGCUACCUUCAAACCGUUCACCCUGCAACAGGCCUUUUUCAGCUCAAUGUCAACAAGAGGCAGCUCUUCAACUACAUUUGUUUUUAUAAGGGUAAAUUAAAAAUAGUAAGCACCAAAAUCCAGAGAAAUGAGAAAAAGUCAAAGCCAUAUGCAGGGAAAAUACCUCGAACUUUUAAUGACACCCCAUCCCUUUGAAUGGAUGUUAAUUCAUCAACAACAUUUUCCUGAUCCUCUCGGCAAUCAAUGUUCGCCAAAACUUGAUUCGCACGAGACUUCCAUGACAUAGCAUCAUGAUGGUAACAUCUAAGAAGUGUUAGUUCUGGGAUGUCAAAAGUAAAAUCAUCAUAUCCUUCAAUAAGCAGCUGAAGUUCCUGUACAAAAAUCAAUUCCAGCAUCCAUUAAAUUUCAGUGCAGAACACCUCUGUGUGAAGAAUAAACAGUAUCUAUGAAGUCCUGACCUUCAGGCUUAUAGAAUCUUUUAAAAUCUCAUUACACCGAGAUCGACAAGAUUCUACUUGGGUUAUCAAAUCCAAAAGUAUUUCACUUUCAGGAAGUUGGACUUUAAGCUCCAACAUCUGAUACAGAGAAACAGAAACUUAAACACCCAAACAUAAAAGCAAUAAAGCAGCAAAUUAAAAAAUCUACCAAAAUCACCUGAGCCUGCAACUCAUAGAGGAUAUCUGCGUUAACUGCACCUGGCAAUUUCUCAUUGAAGCAUUUUCUGACACUUUCAACCCAAACCUGAAGAGCCUCAAUGGUAGCAAAAGAUAAGAAUCCAAAUGAAACAGAUAGACCAUAUAAACCAUGACAGGAAUGCAUAUAAAGAGGAAGAAAGCUUGCCAAAGAUACCACAUCAUCUGGUCAAUCAAUAUGCAAUAAAAUACAUAAAUAUCCUAAUAUAAGGAAUUCCCACCCAUCUUGAGAAAGUCUCUCUAAUAUAACGUGACAGCAUAACCUAGAAAUAAUUAGAGGAAGUACCUUUACCGAAGACAUCCUCUGGAAUAAUUUCUCACUUUCCUUCACGUACAUAGGUGAGACACAGGUCUUGGAAUAUAAAAUCUCCCAAUCAGCUAUCUGAGGUGGGCAUUAGCAAACAUCAACUGGGUGAAAGAGAAAAUUAAAUGAAAUGAAACAGAUUACAACUUGAAAUAAAGCAAAGGAAAACCAGCCAAGCAAUAGAGUCAUCAAAGCUGCAGUAGUACCGCCCACCAAAUAUAUGUUGUCAUAAGCACAAUUUAACAACCAAAAGUGGAGGCAUUAAUUUCGAAGAGCAUACUUACAGAAACUUUUCCACACAUAGGGAGAGCACGAUCAAUUUCUUCAAUCAGCUUUGCAGCUUCUUGUUGGUACUCCUACACACAAAAUGGCGAAAAAUGAUAAAAGGGAGAUAGAGAUCAUAAAUGGAGACCUGCCACGCGCGCACGCGUGGGCGAGGGUGGUGGUCAUCGAGUUGAACCUUAAGUUUAAGAUGGCAAGGCAAUUUGCACGGCACAGGAUCUACAGACAGCAACUUGUUAACAUGAUCCAUCUGUACCCUCCCUGUACCUUGAUGGCAAUCAUGUGACCAGGAUUCCAAUUUAGAAAGGCUAUCUCUUACAUCUUGUGCCCAGUUCUGAGCUUCAAUCAAGUUCUUUACUGUGUCUCGGACCUAUACCACAAGGAAUAUAUAAUUUCUUGAGUACAGAAAUGAGUUUUUGAAUUAGCACAAAGUGUAGGUUUGAAAAUUGAAACUCACAGGGUCCAUUUCAGAACCAGCCCAAAGGAAUUGUUCGGCUUCUUUUAUUGCACUGGCAUAAGAAUCAGCAGAGUAUGGUCUCUGAAGAAUCUUGCAGGACUUUGACAGCCAUCUUUCAGCAAGUUGAACGUGUGUGAUACAUCCCCCUUUAAUCUACAAGGGAUGAAGUCAUUUCAGCUAGAAAACAAUGCCAAUAAACUUGACAGAUUGUUAUGCCAAAGAAAAGAAAGGAAAAAACAAGGACUUCAUUGUCUUUUACUCAUGAAAAGUAAAAGAAAAUGCAUUCCAAACCUUCUUUGAUAAAGCAACUGACUCAUUAGAAGAAGAAAGUUGCCCUUGCAAGCUUCUGUCUUGAUCCCCAGAACUGAGUUUAUCAGUCAUAAGCACCAGAGCCUUCAAAUCUGCCAAAGUAUGACGAUAAAGGAGACGGUGCUUGCUAGCCUUACAUUCACAAAGAUGUUCCCAGUGCUGCAUCAUAUGAAAGAAACAAUAAGCAACUAUUGGGAUGGUGGAUAACUGAAAGUUCUAGCAUGUUGUUAACCAAGCCAAUUCAAGGAGAACAUACAUCCAAAAGGUUGAAAAUGACUUGAAGUGUAUAAUUUACAAGCCAUAAUAUCCUUCAAUUUUGGAAAUGAAAUAAUUGGAUGACAAAAGCAGUAUAAAGUCAAAGGGUAGAAGAUAAAAGCAAUAAAAUAAAAAUCUGAACAUGGGCACGAUAUUGAACCAUAACUGCAAUAGUAGCGAACCUCAGAGUUUGUAUUGCACAAACAAACAACAAUGAUACCUAUAUCUUUCCAAGCAGCUAACUUGGGCUGAGGGCCUAAGAGUCUUACAAAAAUCUGUUAACUGACAGAAAAAGACUACACAGAUAUACAGCCCAAACCUUUAUGUUGCAGAAGCUUGAUGUAAAAAUCUUAGUUUUUCAUUGAUGGAGGGCAAUUUAAAAACUUGUAAUAAAAAACAACAAAUGAAAAUGGGUAAAUAAUUAAUGCAUGAGUCUUUCAAGAUUCCUUACCUCUACACAAACAAAAGCUGAUGGUCUACAGCGGCAAACAACAGCAGAAAGAUAUAGAAAUUGUUGACAUAUGAUGCAUGUUGGAUCCUUCAAGCAUUAUGUCAUACUGAUCAGAAAUGAUGUUCCUCAAACCAUAAUACUGCAGCUUAUUAAAGCUCCAUGAACAAGAUACAAGUUACAGAGAUACCUCUUCGCUACCAACAUGUUCAGGACGCUUACGAGGUGACAUGGUAGAAGAACGAAGAAUCCCAUUUUUCCAAAGCUGCUCCCUCCAGACCUUCUCAUUCUCAUAUACCCUUAUCAAUUCCUUUCUCAAGCAGACUGAUGCUCUGCUAUCAAAGUUGCUCUGCAAGAAAGAUGGAUUCCAACUAUAAAACCAAAAUAGCAUGGAACAAGGACAGAAAAACAAACGACGAACAAGUGAAAGCCAGAAUGAUGAAGAUUACAGAUCUAUUCACAUGAGUAGCUCAAUAAAACAAAAGACUAGAAGCAAGGAAUACAGUUUUUGUUUGGCAAGUUAAAUUUGUCACAAGUAACAGUGGAUACCGAAGCUAUGAACCACUCACCAAUAUCACAGAAUGUUCCAGAGAAUAUGCCAACCAUCAACUUCAUUCUUUAUAUCACUAAAUUACUGAGUAUGAACUUAUUUCUAAACAAAGGCAUAAUUUAUCAAAAUGACAUUUUCAGAAACAAAAUUAGCUCAUGUGGAUACUAAUGGAGAACAAUAAAUAAGCAUGCAUAGCAGAUGUUUCUUCUAUUCAAUCCCAUGUGCCAGCUCUUCCAGAGUUAAAAAGAGACCACGCCAAUUGGGGGAAUGACCACACAUAAGGCCCUACAAAAAUGAAACUAAGGUUCCGUUUGAUAAAACUGAAUCUGAAUUCUAAAAUCUGAAUACUGAAACAAUUAAUUUGCUAAAUUUUAAGCACUGAAAAGAAAUAUAUGAAUGCCUGAAUUUUAAUGCUAAACCUAUUUAUACUAUUUGAUAAACAUUUAUAACUGAAUGCUUAAUAAGUUAAAUUUAACAAUUUUGUCCUUAUAUCUUUUCAUCCAAAACAGAAAUAGAACCUAUGAUUUAAUUAGUUUAAAAUUAUUAGCUAUGAAAUUGACAAUAUUUAUUUUUAAAUCAAAUUAAUAUAAAAGAUGAAAUAUAUUAUAUGAUGAGUAUAGAGAAGAUGUGAAAAUCAUUAAAAAGGGAGAAAAGAGAAAUAGAAAAUUGCUAGAUAGAGAAUAUCAAGUUGUUUAAUUAAAUAAGAAUUUUGAACAGAAUCAACAAACAAUGAUAGAUUUGGUAGAUAAGAUAAGUUAGUGGAAGUAAUUUUAUUGAUUCUUAUCAGAAUUAAGCAUUCAGCUAGGAUUCUUGUGCUGAAAAAAAUACACACAAGUUCAGUACUGCUUAACAAGUUCAAUAGAUGCAUUUUCAUUUAUCAAAUACUCAAAAUGUCUGAAUGUCUGAAAAAGUUCAGUUUCAGCACUUUUUUAUGUUAUCAAACAGACCCUAAAUGGCAAAAUAAAAAAAGAAUCUUAGGAAACUAAAUAGCAAAAAAGAUGCUCAUCAACUUUUAGGUAUAUUUCUUCCAACUAUCAGUUGAAAGUUCUUAUGAAUCAAGUUACACAGAAUUAACUGCAAAAACAAAAUUUAGCUGCUAAUAAAGCCCGAGUUAGAACUUUAUAUAAGCCUCUUCACCAUAGAAUGACUCAUUUAAAAACAAUAACCACCUAAAAGCUCAAAACAAAUGAAACAAGGGAAAUAUCACAUUCUCACAACUAAAGGCUUUCUAAAUACUAUAAAGUAAGACAAUCUAAAGAUGACUUCAUGGAUCAAACUGCAUGCUUGGAGUUUAAUUCUCCACCUUCUAAGUUAAGACCAUAAACUAAUGUGCCUAAUGGAGGGGGCCGGAAAAAAGGAGAAGAAGUGGACCUUUGCUACCACACAUAGGAGUUCCUCAUGGGAUAAUACAGCAGGUUUGCGAUAAAGUUUGUAUAGUUCUGCCCCACAACCUCCAUAAGGCAGCCAGUCAGCAGGAGCAAAGUUGACUGCCUCAGCACAAUUUAGUCCUGUUCAUUCAAAGUUAAUCAAAAAUUAACCAAUGAGGUCAUCUACAAUCAUGCAACUAGAUGACCGAGACCUCCAUUGAAUCAAAAGUUAACCACAUUUCUGCUUACCCAGGUUGAAGCCUCCAUGAUAAGAUCUAGGGAAGGUAAUGAUAAAGUUUCCAGGCUCCUAAAGAAAAGCAAUUACAAAAAUUAGUAUUUCAAAUAUACCUUCAACAGAAGAAGCGGAAUACCACUUACACCAUUUACAGCACUAUAAUGAGUUAUUACUUUGCAAGCAAAGUGAAGGUUAUGACAAUAAGGGCAUGUUCCAAAAGAGAGAGAGAGAUGAAAGACUUCAUCAAGAUUUCAAUUAUUUAUUGAUUAAUUUCAAAGACAAAAGAACAAAUCAUGCAUAGUCUUUCUUUUAUGAAUUAUAUGUUGGGGAUGGCAAUCCUGCAUAUUUGAAUUGCUCAACUCCAAUAUAACAAAUUCCACAUUUUGUGUUCUGGAAAGGGACUUCGCCAAGCUCUAGCAACAAGGACCUUUGCUUGGCUGUAAAAGAAGCAAAAAUGGGAAAAGGAAAGAGUUUUUAUCCUGUGUUUCCACAUGCAUAAUAGCAACAAAUCACAAUUUUAGCAUACAUGAGCAAUACAGAAUUAUCUUGAGAAUAUCCUGUAUUUCCGCAAGUACAAUUACAUUAAAUCACAACUUUUAAUAUACAUGAACAUUACAGAAUUAUCUUAACAAGAGCAAAUUACAUUUUUUGUUUACUUUUACUCUUCAAACUCUAAAUUUUAGCUUCCAGCCUCUCAAGAUGUAUAACUGAAAGACGUAAACCUUUAAAAGAGUUCAGAGUACCAUGCAUCUCAAAUCCAUCCAUCACGGUAACAGAAUAUGCAAUGCAUAACUGUGUUGACAAUGUAGAACAUCACCUGAAGCACACUGUAAACAGGAACACCACUUUCUUGCAAGACACUAGGAUUCAGCAUGGUUACAAGCUGGAACAACAAAUCUGGUUGUGCAUCAAACAGAUCAGGAAGACUGUUUUUCAUCACCUACAGAAAGAUGAAAAUUACUUCUACAAGCAUGCACUUGACAAAAAGGAAUAAAAAGCCAAAAGUAAAAAGAACUGCUAAUUCAAGUACCAAUGAAAACUUUGUAACACACAUUUGAGGGAUAGAAAAACCAAGGUAAAGCACCAAAAGCAUAAUUCCUUACAGCCAAACACUUUCUUAUCCACAUUCUGAUUCAUUAAAAAAUUCAAUUAAAAGUACGUGAUCGCCUUAUUUUCGUUUUUUUUCUCCUUGCAGGGUGAGAGUGGGAACCAAGUUACAUAAUUCAAAAAGUAAGCAGCAUAACCUUAAAAAUCACAAAUGCACUUGAGCAUAGCAACUGAAGACAAGUUACCAGAAAAAGUAAAGCAAGCUCUAAAAUGCUUAGAUAAAUCAGAGCUUGGAAUAGGAACAGAUAUUUAGAUCCAACAACCAGAAAAAUCACACAUCUAAUCCCAUAGAAAGUUGAUAAACGUAGAGGAAAUAACUCAGUCUGCAACCCAUUAUAACAUUAGUGAAAGAUGCAUUUACAAGCCCAUAAGUACUUAUGACAUCUAUAAUUCAAGACAUAUAGGAUUUCACCAACUUCUCAGUCCUGCUUUUAGGAAGAAGAGGCAUAAACGCAGGCUGAGGUCCUAGACACUGAGAGCCGAAAUACUUUGCGGAGCAGUAGCAAUCAUCCAUCUAUCUACAACAAUCAAUAUUUUACAUGAUUUUUAUGCAUGUUAAUUUCACCCAUUGAAAACAUGACUUUCAAGGAACCACUAGUAAGUAUGAAAGAGAGCUAACAACGCAGAGAAGAAGAGCAAAUGACUCUAGUGUCAUGUCCAAAAUCCAUUGCAGCAAAACAAGAAUGGCACUGAGCGUUGUCUAACAGGAGCUACAAUUUUCUAAUUCUAAACACAUAAAACUAAUCUAACUUCAGAGAAGCAGCAAAAUCAAAAAGAAUGUAUCCAUUAAAGUACCUUUUCAAAAGCACAGGCUUCACUGCCAGGGACACUGUACCAACAUUUUGGCUCUCCCCUAAACAAAAUGAGCAGCAGUGAGUACGAAUUUAAUCCACAAACUUAAGAUCAAGCUUAUCAAGGUCAAACAAGGCUUGUUACUCCUCGCAAGCAACUAAGAUCUAAUUCAAACAACUAAUCUCUUCAGAAAAAGGGGCUCACAAGAUUUGAGAAUGAAAGAUAUUCAAGCAAAAUUCAUUUAAACAUUGAAAGUUCACCCAGGCUCAGUUUAAAUACAGCUCUACAUGAAAGGACACAAACUCAUAAAAAAGAGUAAAAAAGAAACAGGAGUUCACAAAAUUUGAAUGUAAAAUCCAACUUUUUUGCAUAAAAACCACAGCUACAUUGCAGGAAGAUGACGCGGUCAUUUAAGUUAAGAUUGCAAUUUGUCAUUGAAGGCUGUGAUCUUUCAAAAGAACAAAAUAGUUGAGGAACCAAAAAAAAAAAGUAACACGAAAGAUUUUCAAAAGCUUGAAAGCAAAGGUAUAUCUUGCUUGCAUCCAGAUUUCAGAGUCCACACGCAGCUAAAUGGAAUGAUUUAACAAAUUUUACCUCAUCUCAACACAGACAUAACAUGAGUAGCAGAAAUUUUUUAAAAAGUUUUGCAUUUGCAGAAGCUUGAAAGCAAAGGUAUAUCUUGCUUGCACUGGAUUUCAGAGUCCAAAAUCCAGCUAAAUGGAAUGAUUUAACAGAAAAUUUCCCCCAUCUCAAUACAGAUAUAACAUGAGUAGCAGAAAUUUUUUAAAAAGUUCUGCAUUUACGUCACAAAGUAAUCAGCCAGUGCUACAACCCAAUAAUCAUCUAAACUUACAUACAAGCCAAUAAACAUCUAAAUUUACACAAGACGAGAAUGGUGCCCAAAAUUAGAAGGAUGUGUACCAGUGAAGAUAAUUCAUCGAGUAAAAGCAGUGGUCCUCAAAAUGCCAGCAGAAUGACGAGAAUAGCAUCCCAAUAUACAGCCAGGGUACCAUGACCCCAGCAAUUCCAUGAUGCACUGCUUGAAGCAUUGAACCAGGUAGCUUCGGUAAGUUAUUAAGAUUCCAUGGGCUAGCACAGUACUCGUCCCACACUUCAGCCUCAACUGAUGAUGGUCUUUGGUCAGCUACACGUGGAAAUCCACUCCCGUAUACGGAAGUAUCCAAGUCACUGCCAUACAUUACUUCCACCUCACCAACUGAUCCCUCUACAAUCUCCCAAAACUUCUUCUCCAAUUGUACCCGUGACGUAGGUGUUGAUCCAAACCAUUUCUUCUUCGCUCGCUCAGCCACACGCCUAAAAGCUUCCAGGGAAAACUCUUUACCAGGAACAAAUCCAAAGCUCUCCUUUUCAGAAUUCAAGCACUCCAAGCAGUACCAAUUACCCAAAGGCACUUGCUUCAGAGGUGGAGAUAAGCAAUAUAUGUGCCAACCCUUAUUACACCUAUCACACAAAAGCAUUACUUCCCCAUGCAACCCACUUCUACAUUGCUCACAUAUUUGAUCAAACUCUUCCUUUUCUUGCUUGCGAACUUCAACUUUCUCACCCUCACUAUUCUUCCGCAUUCGCUUAAAACUCGAAACCUCAAUUUCCCGACCUCUUUUUCUACCCCCUUGCAAUCCUCUUUUACAAGUCUUCUCUUUUCCUUUAUUAAUAUUGCAAUAAUACUCUUCAUACUCACAUAAAUGCUCCAAAUACAAUUGACUCAACACAUGCUUGGCGCAGUCUGUGAUCUUCCCAUUAGGGCGCACAAACCUGAAAACCUCCCCCCAUUUUUUAUUCUUCACAACCUUGUCAUACCCUCCAAAUCUUUUAACAGCAUUAAACAAUUUACACAAAUCCAAAUCACCACCUUCAAAGACAACCCUUUUUUUUGCUUUCCUACUGCAAUGCUCCCCCAAAAACCUAUUGUAUUCCAACUUAAAAGUCUUUGGAUCACAUGAGGAACAUCGCGCCUGUAACUUGUGAAUUUCCUGUGUUUUUGUGGGGAAUGUAAAUGAAUCUAAAUCCAAACCAAAAGGAGGUUUCCAGCACUUAGGCGGAACGAUCUUACAAAUCCCAUAUUGCUCAGCCUCAGGCCUGAUCUUAUCAAUAAACUCUAAAGGGUCCCUAAAUUCAUCCUCAGUUGGAUAAUACACUGGCCCUGCUGGGACAUUCAAUGAACCGCUGGAUAAAACACAAGUACUUGGCCCCAAAACAACCUUUUCUACAGCCCUUGGCCUCCCUUUCCCCAUCAAUAAUUCAAUCUCUCAUCUCAAACCAUAAAUAAAUCCCACUACAAUAACAAAUUUGAAUUCACAUUAAUAUCUGGACCAAAAAAUGUGUGUCCUCCAAGGGGGAAAAAAACAUGCAUGGAUUAACAGCUUUCAACUAAAAACAUGUUAUAUGAACUGAAAAAAAAAAUUAAAGGGUCUUAAACAUACCUUCUUUCGGAGAAAAUAUGAUUAAAUGAACGAUUAAUAGCUCUGAGAAGUAACUUCUCUCUCCCUUUUUUUUAUCUUUUCUUUCCUUCUUUUUUUAUUUGGAAGUUUUAAAGUGAGAGAGGGUGUGUUUCUCUCAAUCCUUGAGACUUUAGCAAGUUCGUUUUCUUUUUAGGUUACGGUGCAAGAAAACUGGCGCAAUCGUGAAUGUCUUGCGACUGAAAUUUGAGGAUAUUUACGAAAAUGUCUACAGGGAUCUUUCUAUCAGAUUCUCCUUGUUCUCAAUAGAACCGCGUGAGUCGCACGUGAACACGUCAACGGUUGUGAUGGAGCCGUGUUCGGUGACUUGAUAAAAGAGAGCGUGAGAGUGUUUCGGAAUGUGCUGAUUACUCGUUAUGAAACCGUCUGAGGUUUUCAACGAACCCGUCGGUGGUUUCGGGGACGUAUCACCAGUAAAAGUACAUCGGAUUGACGGUCAGGAUUUUUAGUCAAGUCAAGAUUUCUGUGCAUCACUCUCUAUUUUUUCUUUUUAUUUUUCUUUUUUUCCUGUUUGGAUCUUUUUUUUUUUUUAUUUUUUGGUGUGUGAGUGUGUACAGAUGGCAAAGGUAUUGAAGUGAUAAAAGAAGGUGCUAAAUAUUGGUCAAUGACUUAGAGAGGCUUUGGCAGCAUGCCGGUAUAUAAUGUGAAGUUUCACUUGAAAAGUUUUGGUUGGAUUAGGAAUCCUUUUUGCUGCCAUUUGUUGCAAAUGUUAGAGCAGGCCUUACUAUCUUUAGAAGGGAACAAUAAUAAUAAUAAUUAGUCCUUGCCUAUAUUUUGAGUGUAUAUAGUAGCACCAUUGUAUAAUAAAACUCGAAUAGUUUUAUUAAUAAUGCUUCAGUAACUGUUUAAUAGAAUGGUGGUGUAGCCAUCUUUUAGAUGUCAAAUUCUAAUCCAGAGCAAUUAGAAUGUCUAAAGCUAUAAUAUGUUUCAGUAUUAUAGGUUGGUCAUAAAGCUUUUAUUAGUUACCAGGCCACAUUGUAUAGUUUGGCCAAAUUUAUUUAGAAUCUAUGUAUAGGCCGGUCAUAAAGUUUUCAUUAGUUGUCAGCUACAUUGUAUAGUUAGGCAGUAUUGAUUUGAUGUUUUUAUGGAUUUCAGUAGGUUUUAAGUCCGUAAAGUUAGCAUGUCAUAUCCACGGACUUCGAGUCAAAAAUUUUUAAGUCCGCACAGUUUAUACAAGAAGUCUAUAAAGGCAUACGUCCCAAACCAAUGUUGGGAACGAUGCACUUACAUCCUGUAAAUUAAAGCAUCCAAUAAAAACUCCAAUUUCAUACGUUCCUUAGCAAGUUUUUUCCAAGUUCUUAGCUCUCUCAUAUUGCUAGCAUAAGACGAAAGAGAAAUAAGAAAGUAGAGAUUUAGGCAGCCAACCCUAGAUUAGAUCCAAACAACCGGAAACUUUGAAAAAGAUACCUUGUUUUUAGGAUCCUAAAAGACCAAAAGACGGUGUAGUACCAUCAAAGCCUUUCAGUUACAAAGCAGGCGCCAGGGGAAGAUCCGGUGAGGCAAAACUCCUAAUCACAAGAUUCCCAUUUUCAUAGCAUCAGAAGGAAAAUUUGGAUUUAAAGCAAGGAAGGUAAAAUCUCAGUUAUCUUUCUUAAAGUAUCUAGUAGUCAUUUAUUUCUUAAAUUCCAGUUAAUCAUCCUGAUAUUUUAUAUGAAUUUUGAACCGCCUUUUCAAUUUACAUCCACUCCAGAAAACGCAUACAGAUUAGCAUUACGAACCCUCAGACAACCAGAUACCUAUUAUUAUUUUGAUAAAAUUUUAGAAGACAUAGAAACUUCAGACCAGUGUCUAGCAAAUAUACAAAUAGAAGAAUCUAGAUUAGUAAAAGUAGCACACCACCAUCCCGCAUCCUUUCUCAGAAAUAUUAGACAAGCAAAGGUAGAUUUACUUUGGCACAGAUACUCUGAAUUAAAAUCUAUUGAAAGACAAAAAUUAGAAGAAAAAGAAGAAUAUAAAAACAGAAGGAAUUCCUGUAAUAAAAUUUGUGGAAUAUCUGAAACAUAGGUCUUUAAUUGGAGCCGUAAAAGUCCAACAUAGUUAUAGAUUUUUAUCUGAAACAUAGGUCUUUAAUUGGAACCGUAAAAGUCCAACAUAGUUAUAGAUUUUGGUAUCAGAGCAACAUAGGUCUUUAUUCAUGUAUAUUUAUGCUUAGCUAUGUACAUAAAUUAUUUACCAACAAACAUUUUUGUUCCAUGAAUUCAUAUGUUUAAGGGGGCAUAUUUUAUGUUUAUCCCAACGCGCAACGCGCGUUUUAUGCCUCCUAGUUUCUCACAAAGAACGAAACCUUGGCGACUAGGAGAGUAAACAAUCUGCUGUAUCUUUUUCCUCGUCUCUGACCUCAUGCGUGUGUAUAUGGCUUCUAAACAAACCAGUCGUGUAACAUGUUAAGCAUCCAUAGUUACUUGUCGAGGAAGACAGGAUUACAUUCAAGAUUCAACGCAGACAGGCUUACAUUCAAGAUUCAACGCCAAACAAUUGAAGAUAUGCUGGCCGUACGCUGAUAGAUGCCUUUCUGUCCCCACAUACAUAUAUAUAUAGGUGGGUGUUUUUCUGAGCUCAAUUCCACUUACAGGUGAAAAUACCACCUAAUAAACAUUCAAAAGAUUGAUUCUUUAAUUACUACAAUAAAAAGAUCAAAUUUUGGGAGCAAAUCAGAAAGAUGUGGUAUCCUUGGAAAAAAGGGCCAUCUGGGUUCUCUUCUAGCUCUACAGCUGAGGAUGUCACUCAAGGGUUGAUGCCACGGGCCUCACUGCCAUUGUUACAGGUCUUUUUCCUCUUCUGAUGGUUAUUUUUUCCUAAUCUUAAUUUACAUAAUUUUCCCCUUUUAUCCGUUGAGUGCUGCACGUGGUAUAUUCAUGUAUGCAAGUUGUCUACUUUCUUUUUCCUGAGAUUUUUGAACUGUUUGAUGAUUCAUGACUCUUCAAAUCUCAUUAAUAUGUCAAGGAAAGAUUGAAUAUGAGCCAGAUGAACUAUGACUGGGGGGUGUGCUAUGUAAGGAUGUGGCUUUGUAUCCUCCCAUAGUGAAAAAUAAGGAGAAAAGAGGUGGACGUUCUGCUGUUUGCGACUUGGUUCUUGUUAAUCUAUGUGACCUUCAGCAAAAUUUCUUUUGGAUGAUUAAUUAUCAACAUUCAAGCAUGUAGCUACUCUGCCAGACUUGGACCUUGCUUUGGCCUCGUGCAAUAUAAUGAACCAUAAUCCAGCAGUGGCUUACCUCUUUCCCUGCAUAGUAAAACUAAGAAUACUUGUAUUUUGCAUUUUCUCAAUGCAAAGGGAAAACAGGAACUUUUAAGUGGUGGUAGGAGAUGAUUCUGGUUCUGCCAGUCUAUGUGUUACUGUAAAUUGAUCCAAGAAGGGAAAUUGAUUAACAUCCAUAAACUCCGCAUUAGAAAUUACAUUCAUUUAGUAGUUUGGGCUCUAUAAUCUCUAUUUUGUGUGGAUGAUCUCAUGUGUGUUAUGUUAGGUAAUUUUGUGUUCAUCAUUAUCACCUUUGUCUUAUGCUCAUCCUCGGAAGAUGUUUUAGUAUAUUUCUAAUUUACGUAGUUGAUCCUUUUUGCUUUUCUGUUGUCAUUUGUUGCAAUUCUAUUGAUGGGAAUAAAUUUUAAAAUAUUUAAAAUUUCUGAUUUUUAUGAUAAAUUUUUUUUUUACCCGGGCAAGCUUUGUUGUCUCAUAUCUGCUGCUCUUCCUUCUUUACAAUUUUCAGGAGCAUCCAGUGGCAUUGGCACAGAGAUUACUCGAGUCUUAGUGUUGCGUGGUGCACAUGUAAUUAUGGCAGUGCGAAAUGUGGAUGUUGGAAGAAAAGUAAAGGAAGCCAUACUGAAGGAGAUUCCUAAUGCUAAAAUUGAAGUUAUGGAGUUGGACCUCAGCUCUAUGGCAUCAGUUAGGAAGUUUGCAUCAGAAUACAACUCCUCUGAUCUUCUCUGAACAUUCUGAUGUAAGAUAAUCAUAUGUCAAAUAUUCAAUUUUCAUAUCCAUGUGUUUUAAUUCUUAAAUAUUUGCUUCUUCUUGGGAUAUGUAUUUAAUGUUAAUCAUUUACUUUCUUGUGCAUUUUCUUCCUUUUUCCUCCUAUUUACUUGAAUUUUUCUUAAAUUUGACAUUUUUUGUUUUUUAAAGUAACAAUGCCGGGGUUAUGGCACCACCAUACAUGGUUUCACAGGAUGGUAUGGAGAUGCAGUUUGCAACUAAUCAUAUAGGUAUGCUUGCUAUUUAUUUCUUGUAGAUAUGAUGUUUCUUGAGAUUGCAAGUCUAUGAUGUUAGAAAAUGUUGGGCAUUAUUUGCAGUGUUAUGGUGCCAUGGAUAUUUCUUCUUCCAUCCAAAAACAUAAGUAAAAUCUGGCAUGCAGUUGUAUCUUUUGUUGCUGCAUGUUAAUUCAAAGCAUUUUUGUGACUUUGUAGAUUGGCAAGUGAAAGUUGAUGCUGUAGGUACAUUUAUGUUUUCUAUUAUUUAAUAAAAGUGGACGUGAAGAUUAGACUAUUAAAUAAGAAAAGGUAGACCAUUAUGAACUAACCCCAGAUGGUGAAGCCUGUCUUGUACCUACUUGCAUCGAAUUUCUUCUGUCCAUGUUUCUUUAUAGGUGAAAUUUUAUGAUAGGGAUUGGAAUUUUUUAUCACCACAUAACCUACUGAUUGUUUGAUUAAAUUCUUCACUUGUUGGCUUGUUCUUUCUUAGCUUCUCUUAAGCCCUAGAGUUAGACUUCCAGUAGAGUGGAAUUGUCUUUUCAUUUUCUUAAUAACUUUAAAGAUGUUCUAUUGGUUGAAGGACUUCUGACUGACUAAGAGAAAAUCUUCCAAUUUGAACUGGAAAUACAUUUCUUGUUUGGUUCUACAAGCAGUCUUGUUAUAACUCCUUUGUUUCUCUGUUCUUCUUACUUUCAAGCACAGAUGAUGACUGAUGCCAAUGCUAAUCACUUCACUCUUUUGUGCAGGUCAUUUCCUUUUGACAAAUCUGUUGCUGCAGAAAAUGAAAACCACAGCACGUGACUGCCAAAGAGAAGGGAGAAUAGUUAAUGUCUCAUCAGUUGGACACAAUUUCACGUAUCAAGAGGGAAUCUGUUUUGACAAGAUAAAUGACCAAUCAAGGUGGCAUAGACGAUGCUCUUUUGUUUCAUUAAAUUCCUAACUUUUGUGCUUAUUUGUUCAGUCAGUUGCUACAAAACAGAUGCAUACCCUUAUUGGAAAAUAGAAAUCUGUAUAGCCAACCAAAAGCAAUUGGGGUUACUUGAGACAAGAUGUGUUCUUAUGAGUUCACUUUUUUUGUGUACAUGCAACACUAGAUAAAAGAAAUAGGAGAGAAUUUAGGAAAUUAUAAACUUGAGAUCUCCAGGUUAUAUCAAGAGGUCAGCAUAUUGAUAACAUCAACAAAGUAGACCAAAGCAUUGGGGCAAAUGAUCUGUUGAGGUAUAUGUGACAAAAAUCUAAAAGCUGAUCGAAAUGAUAAAUUAUUUGAUACUUGGGCCUAUGGGGUAGAGUUCUCAGUUCUCGUACUUAAUAAAGUGGAUGAACUGAUUAGGGUUGUAAUGAAUGAUUGCUGGUCAUAAUUGUUUAUAAUAAAAUGCCUUCUGUUUCUUCAUUUGUUUCCAGCUACAGCCCUUUCCGUGCCUAUGGACAAUCCAAACUUGCUAAUAUAUUGCAUGCUAGUGAACUUUCCAGGCGCUUGAAGGUAAUCACCAUUAGCAGAAAAGUGACUCUGGAACCAUUUUACUGAUGAGUUGCAUAAUGUUUCAUAUAAAACUAGAGGCCAUCUAAAUCUCUGUAGCCUAUGACUAUUUUGAUCUCUUGUUGUAUCUGGAGGCAGAGUAGUAAUUAUCAAAUCUUGGCAUGUUUAAAAUAUUCUAUUAUAGUUUGAGAUGAACAAAUUAGAAAGCAGUAAUAUAAUAAGUGAAAUACAUUUUCAGUAUUUGACAGUGUCCCUGUGAGUUAAUAAAUCACCCUUAGACAAUUAUUUUCAUGCUUUUCAAAUUCUCAUUCUGGUCUGGAUUUUUAGAUGAGGUGUCCUGGAAGCCCUUAGAUGCUACCUGCAGCACACUGUCACUCUCCUUUACUGCAAGAACAAUGAUUGAUGUGUAUACAACAUUGAGUCUCAGAAGCAAGCAAAUCUAUAAGCAUAAUAUCAUUUAUCCUUGUAAAUAUGAUCAUGUGAAAUAAUUGCAUUUGAGUGCAUGAGUUAAUAUUUGGCCAAUAAGCAUACAUACAUACACAUACAUAUACAUAUACAUGUAUAUGUGUGUGUGACUAGGGAUGUACUAGAUUGCUAGUGUCAUAUUCCACUUCAUCUAUUAAUAUCUCAAAGUUUUCCUGCUCAGCAUGCUCAAUAGAAUAUGCAGUAACAGCCUUUUAUCCUCCCACAGGAAGAAGGCGUGAAUGUAACUGCUAAUUCUCUUCAUCCUGGAGCAAUUAACACAAACCUUAUGCGUCACCAGAAGUUCGUGGAGGGUAGAACUCUGUGCCUUUUCUGAUUUUCUUUUCUAUAUUUUAAAGUAAAGGCUUUCCCAUAAUAUACCAGUAAUACAUGCAAAGACAGACCUUUUGUCAGACCAUAGUGAGCUUGAUAGUUUGUUGUCCUUUACACACCUGGUCCUCACAGGAAAAUGGGAAAACAGAUCAAUAGAAUUCUUGUAGCUACCACAACCCUACCUAAUCUCAACACAUUGUAAAAACAGAUCAUCCAAAAUUUUUUCAAACUAAAGCUUUUGAGGGUCUAGUAAUGAAAGUCAACUACAGGACAAAAUUUGCUCAGUUUUGAUUGUUGUGGUGCGCACAAUUUUUGUUUAUCAGAAUAUGAGAAUCCUGGCUAUAUUCAAAAUCCGAGGGUAAAACAUGUGCAACUUUCGUCAAACUAGUUAAAGAGUUCAGGUUGAUGCAAAAAAUGAAGUCGUCAUUGCAUAUACAAUAUCUUAUACAUAAAGCCUAUCACAAUGCUUCAGAGGAAAAAAUUAUUGCUUUUUUUUUUAGUCAAUAGGUUUGUGGCCAAAAUAUUGGUAGAUGAAAUGAGAAAAUAGCUAAUAAAAGUACAUUGUAUGGCUAGUUAUGAGGCUUCCCUUGAUAUUAUUCACUUGACAUGAUUGAUUAUGCUUCUUUAGAUUAAAUGAGGUAUAUUGAUUGUUUAUUUUGGUUGACUUUUGAUGCAGUUGUGGGAAGUUUGUUUAAUAAACUCUUUUUCAAAUCCAUUCCACAGGUUCACUUCAUCUCGUAUUGUUUCUUUAAAGAAAAUCUUGCUGGCACCUCAAAUUGGAGGUGCUUGGUGAAGUAUUUUCCAUAUGUUUCAUUCCUGUUAUCGUGCUUUGUAGGGUGCUGCCACUCCAUGCUACGUGGCUUUAAAUCCGCAAGUUGAAGGAGUACGCGGCGAGUACUUUUCGGACUCUAAUAUAGCAAAACCAAGUGCUUUAGCUAAGGAUGCUGAAUUGGCGAAGAAACUGUGGGACUUUAGCUUGAAAUUGACAGAUCCCAAGGAGUAGAUCGGACUCAACCUUGCUCAAUCAUAUAUUUCUGGUGCUAUUAAAUGAUGGGAUGUAAAAUAAUGGAUUUGUCAUGGAAGAUUUUCGAUUCUUGCUGGUGUGAGCAUCAAAUAAAUGGAUAUGUAGUUUGACGAUGAAUUAAAAGAAAAUUAUUUACUAGCAGUAAUGUUUUUAUCAACUCGGAUAUGAAAUUUCUGUUCUGCUCAACUUGAGAGUUUUGAGUUUGUUUCCCCCUUAAAUCAGACCAAGGCAUCAUAAUAUCUGUCAGAAUUUGUAAAUAUGUUUUGGCUUCUGUUCUAUGGAUGGUAUGAAAACAAAUUCAUGGGCCGUUACCUUCUGUUAAACAGUCAGACAAGGAAGGUGCAAGCAGACCAUGAUCUCAUAUGUAAAUCUGUAUAUUUCAUGUUGUACAUUGCAUCUGCAUAUUGCUUCUAAACAUAAGACAGGAGUACCUUCCUUGCUCAGACUUGUGAACACAGGUGAAUUCAAUACGAUUAAGUAGUCUUAGCAGCAGGUAGACAAAUUUUGCGCCGCCUAUACAUGUCUCGUAAGUAAGAGUUUGCAUUGCGUCGAUGUGUUGUUCUUAUGUUAGUGAGUGUAUAUUUUGCACGGCAUCGUCCAAUAUUGUUUAGAGAUGAAAUAUGGUUUGUGCGGAACCAUAAGUUGUUGGUUUUCACCUACGCUGUUUUGAAAGCUUUCCAUAGCUGCUGUUGUGUGUACGGCAUGUUGGCGAGGAAGGACGUUCAGACAAAGAAGUUCUGUUAUAGUCCACAGUAUCCUAGGAAUACAGGGGACAUCAUUAGAAAAUAAACAUGAGGUUGGCGUUGUAUCUGUUAGAUUGUAUUGUCAACUUAUAUUUUGCGUUUUUUUAAUAGGUUGUGUAUAGCUGCUUAGUUCACGUAAUCACCUAAUGAGGAUAGGUUAAUGUCAUUAAAAAAAAAAGGGAAUUUUGUUUCUUGUAAUCUUCAUCAUACUAUUAAAAACCAUUAGUCUUAUUAAUUCCAUAAACAUUUGUCCGUUUCCUAAAGCAUCGAUGGAGGCCAGAUUAUGAUAGUUUAAGGAAGAUGGAGGCAAAUAACUAGGAUCUAGGAGUUUUCUUUUUUUUUUUUGGAUAGAAUUAAUAGUGAAUUACACACAUCAUUAAUUUUGAGAAAAGUUUCUUGAAAAAAGUGCUCCAAUUCUGACGAGCCAAGAAAGAUACAUCCGUGAAUUUCAACGCUUAUUCUAACGUUUCUCGACUGAUUGUAUUAUGGUUCUUGGAUCAUUUCUAAUAUUUCUUUUAAAUCAGGUCUGGAAUUUCGCUAGGUAAAUCUUUUCUCAAAAGCAUUGCACAGGUUCAUCUCAUCUGUCAUUGCUUCUUUAAAAGCAUAUGUGAUUCUUUUGUAGUUUUACAUCAUUUGUCAUCUCAAUUUCCUGCAGGGUGCAGCCCCUCCGUGCUAUUUGGCUUUAAACCCAGAAGAUGGAGGAGUGAGGCGAGUAUUUUUCAAACUGUGACGUAGGUAAAACAAGUGGUCUAGCUAAAGAUGCAGGGUUGGCAAAGAAACUGCGGGACUUUAGCUUGAGUUUGACGGAUCCCGAGUAGUUGGGAAGGCAACCUCACGCUUUAAUGGAAAUUAUGUGGGAUGCUGCUCGAUGAACUUUUUACUGGUAGUCUCUGUUCAGGCGAAGUAAAAAGGUGCUCUUCAGAUUCAUGGGUUGAAUUUCGAUGGAAAUUGAACAAUGUAACUGCCCCAUAGUUCUUUUUUUUAAAAAAAAAAUAGAGGACAACAAGAAGGAAAGUUAAAAUGUGUCUUUGUUUUUGUUUUCAUUUUUUUCUUGCUAGAUGGUUAAAUGGUUCAGGUCUUCAUAUUGGAACUAGUUCUCGACUCACAUUAUCUUAUGCACGGCUUCGAUUUUUUUUUUUUUGGGCAAUCGAUGGAGAAAUGUUUAAUUGGUAUAGUAUCUGUAUAUAUCAACGUACAGAACUGACAUGAGCAUAGCAGAUUGUUUUGUUUGAAGUGUCGAUUCUGAAAGAUUGCAACCACCACCGUAGACUCGUUCUUCUUCACUACACAUAUUUUAGGCAUCAAAGGUAUGUUUAAUCGUGAUAAACCUGAUUUCUUGUACAAUUUGCUACAAAUUUAGUGAAUGUAAGGUGAGAACUCCCUCAGCAGUGAUAGACAUCAGUUGGGGGAGCUGUCAAGUUCAAGCUGAAAUCCCACAGUUUUGGCUAAUUCUGGAUCUCUGGCCAGAGAACUCGGUUGGGAUAAGUUACAAUCUGCAAAGUACUUUCCGCUAACUCCCUAACUUGUGGAUGCAAUGCCACAUAGCAUGUAGUUGCAGCUCCCUGAGACCACCACAUUGAAUCAAAGUUAACAAUAUUAAUUGUUAGAUCAGCUUUAAUUAGAUGGGCUGUGGUGAAAUCAAGAUACUGACUAUCAUUUAAUGGACAGUGCCAUAUGAUUUUAUCGCAUUAAGAAAAAAAAAAAAAAAAGCGAACCUGCUGAACACUCUUGCAGGCAAAUUUGCCAAUCUUGUUAAAUAAACCUGAUUCCCAGAAGAGGAAUGAAUCAAAAGUACAACAAACUAAAUUAGGAUCUCAGGAUAAAAGUUUCAAAAACCCCAGGUGCAGUUUUGUUCACGGAAGUGUACUAGCAAACAGAAUAAUCUUCUGUUUCAAAAUAAACAAAGAACAAAAUGCUCGAGAACCCCAACAAAAUGUGCAGAGCGCCUUUCUACCGUGUAAAAAAUUUACCAGAGAGGAACUUGAGUGGCGAAAAAUUUUUGUAACAAUAAUUCCAGGAUGAAGUGAGUUAGCAGUUAUUAGCACCCCUUCUUCCUGUUAACAUUCAAAAGACAAUUGUGAGUUUAAAUGGACCAAAAGAUUCUCGAGAGGUAAAAAGAAUAGAAACAAUAUGGGUACAUAUGCAAAUACGUACCUUCAAGCGCCUCGAGAGCUCAGUACCAUGCAAUAUAUUAGCAAGUUUUGAUUGGCCAUAUUUGAACCUGUAAUUUGUUAGCAAUAUUGAUUAAGGGUUCGUUCACAGAAGGCUAAUGAGAUCAAGUUCUCGUCGCCAUAAAAAUUUGGAGCUGUGAUGAUUACUUGUUAUCCACAUUGAUUUUAUCGAAUCGUAUCCCUUCAUGGCACACAAUGCCAUGAGCCAGUGAUGAAACGUUCAAUUCUUCCUUCUAUAUGGGUUUCUGCUGAUGCGUUUUUCAUCGUCUCUAGUAAUAGGUUUGUCAGAAGAAAAUGGCCUGGAAAAUGAGGAAACGCAUAAACAGGGAGAAACUUACCCUAACACACAAGGAUCACACUUAUAAUUAAACAGGUCUAGGUAGGUAUACCCAAGUGAUUAGUCGCGAAAUGGAGUUCGAUGUUGUCUUCAGAGAGCAGAAAGUCAAGAGUCGCGACACCUGCAUUUUUCUGUCAAGAAAUAGAGACAGACAAAUUGUCAAUUUGUCAAGUUAAUUGGAAGCAUUACAAUUUUUGGAACGAAAUACUCUCACAUGAGAAUGUUCAGUGGAAGACCCGUGGCCUUGUAUUCUGCAGCGAAUUUCCUCACUGAUGCCAUUGCGCUGAGGUCUAUCUCCAUGACUUCAAUUUUAGCAGCAGGAAUUUCUUCAAGAAUUGCAUCUUUGACAGCUCUGCCAGCAUCUGUAUUUCUCACUGCCAUAAUCACAUGAACCCCGCGUAAAGCAAGCACCCUUGCUGUCUCCAGGCCUAUACCACUUGAUGCCCCUGGAAAUUACAUCAGUUCUUAGCAUUUGUACAAACUAAGUCUGAUUCAUAGUGGACGUCUCAGUUUCUAAUCUCCGGAAAACUUUUUAGGAUCCUGACCAUCCUGUUUUAUCGAGAGCCUUUCAUCGCAAAAUCAUGCAACAUGCGAAUUGAGCCUUUUGAGAAUUUCCAAGUACGUGAGUGCAUGUACUAGCUAGUCUAUAAUUUGGCUAUCAAAUUUCUUUUUUCCUUUCAUAAAACAUGGCUUUCGAAGCCACACAGUAAAUGAGUAUAAUCAAAAUCCACAGUAGAAGCGGGCGGGCUGCAUACCAGUAACAAUGGCGGUGAGGCCUGUUCCAUCAAUCCCUUGUGUAACUUGCUCAGCUGUUGUAUUAGCUGAGAAUCCUGAAGGCGUUUUUCUUUCAAAAAUCCACAUGUGCCCUGAGGUUAUGGACUAGGCAACCUGGAAUCUGAAGGGCAAUAAUCAACUAGUUCAUGCAAAUUUACUCCAACUUAUAUACUAUAUGGUUUCAAUUUGACAACUUCAGAAGAUUAGCAUUUUUUUUUUCGUUUGUGUCUUUACAUUCAAUUUUGAAGCUAACGUCGUUUGAUUGCGUCUUGGGAGACUUUAAUCUGAUGCCGCAAAACAUGUUUGUUUGAUUGCGUCUUCAAAAACAUAAACUUAACAAACAAAUGUUGUUUGAUUGUCGUGGAAAAUUCGAAGUUCAGAAUUAUGCGUGCAGGCUUGUUCUUCAUGAUUUGAAUCUUAAAAAGCUUCUAUUAUUAUUAUUUUUUACUUCAAAUGGCAUAUUCGAAGAAUUCAACAAAAUUUGAGGACUCGCUCAAAAAAAAAAAGAAAAAAAAAACAUAAAUUUGCACGUUUAUUCGUACAAAUUAGAUUUACUUCUUGUAUUAGUUGGCGUUUAUAAGAAUAACAUAACUAAACAAAAUUGGAUAAACAUUCGACUGGAGAGGCUCGGGAUCCCACAUUGCACAGCUGCGGCCCGUUAUUACAGUAAGAUAUAGAAACGAUGAGCCCCAAAUUGACUAAAAAAACUCCCUUAGAAGUCAUCAUAAUAUAUUACUUGGGGGGCCUAUCAAGCUCAAGCUGAAAUCCCACAGCUUUUUGGCCAAUUCCGCAUCAUUAGCUAAAGGGCUUGCUUGGGACAAGUUACAAUCUGCAAAAUACUCUCCGCUGACUCCCUUGACUUGUGGAUGCAAUGCCGCGUAGCAAGUAGUUGCAGCUCCCUGAAACCACCAUCAAUCAAUUCUUAAAUCCAAUGUCAUAAAAAAAAAAAAUCUGCAAUUGACGGUGCAAUAAAGAAGUCGAAGCCAACCUGUUGAACAUUUUUAAAGAAAUAUUUGCCAAUCAGGUUAACAAUACCUGCAUUGCCAGAAGCCCAGGUCAAAUUAUAUUAUAAAUGUAACGAGGGACAGGACCAUGCUCGAGCGCCCCUAAUCAAUUACUGGAUAUUCUGGUUCUGUAUAUUAUGCAGGAAUGAUCCUAGUUUCGAUGAAAUGACAUGUUUGACAGCACCUAAGAUAAGAAGUGUGUUGGUUGGUUAAGUACUGUUUAUAGUUGACAGAGAAAGAAAUACCAGAGAGAAUGCUGCUAUUGCGCAGAAGAUCAGUAACAACGGAUCCUGGAUGAACUGAAUUAACAAUUACCGGAAUCCCUUCUUCCUGAUUGAAAUGGGAAAAAUAAAAUUUGGAGGGCAAAGUGAAUAAGAAAACAAAGUAGAGCUCGGAUGUCUUCUGGAACCACAGAUAAUAGAGUACCUUCAAGCGUCUUGAGAGCUCACCAGCAUGCAGUAUAUUGGCAAGCUUUGAUUGCCCAUAUUUGUACCUGAAAUUAGAAAGAUCAAGGAAAAAAUUUCUGUUCUAGUAAGUAUUAACGAAAGUAUCUUUGAACGGCUAACUACAUGGAUAGAAAUAUGGGGGUGCAUGCCGUGAUUACCUACCGGGUAUCAACGUUGAUUUUAUCAAAUUGUAUCCCUUCUUUGUACACGAACCGAUGACCUAAUGACGAAACAACCACAAUCCUUCCUUCUACAUUGCUCUCUGCUGCUGUACUUUUCAUUACAUCUAGCAAUAAGUUUGUUAAGAGAAAAUGGCCUGCAAAAAAGUGAUUAAUAAUUAGUUCUGAGACAGUAUUUAACCUAUGUGCAACUAAGAAAUUCAUUCUCCUCCAAAUAAUAGUCAAUGAGAAUCAAGCAGUUGGUGAAUGACAGGCUUACCCAAAUAAUUAGUUGCAAAAUGGAGUUCAAUGUCAUCCUUAGAAAGAUUAAAUUUAGAAACCAUAACUCCUGCAUUAUUGCUGUCAGAAAUGGACAGACAUUUUCAAUCUGUUAAGUUCCGAGUAUAAAACAGUUUCUAAAAGUACAGGGCUAUAAUCGAUUUUGAACAAGAUAUAUCCAAAAAAAUGCUUGUGCAGAAACUUCUGAAGUUAUAUUGAUUGUGACUAAGCCGCUCUCACAUGAGAAUGUUCAGUGGAAGACCCGUAGCAUUGUAUUGUGCAGCAAAUUUCCUGACUGAUACCAUCGAGCUGAGAUCUAGCUCCAUGACCUCAACUUUAGCAGCAGGGAUCUCUUUAACAAUUGCAUCUUUAACUGCCGAGCCAGCUUUUGUAUUUCUCACAGCCAUGAUCACGCGAACCCCACGUAAGGCAAGCACCCUUGUUGCCUCCUUGCCAAUGCCACUUGACGCCCUGAAAUUACAAUUAAGCAUCUUUAAUCAAAUACAGAAUGAAUCUAAUCCCAAUUGUAUCAUCGCAUUCUCGUUUUGUAGAGAACAUGGAUGUGUCUUCACAAUUUCUAACUUCAUCAAUGUUAAGUACAAAGCAAAAUUGCCUUGAAGAAAAGGUACAAAGCAAAAUUGGAGCAGAAAUAACUGGGGGCAAAAGAAGGUGGUAUUCAAAUUUGGCAAUUCAACAAAUGCAACCAAGUUUAAUCAGGUUGAUGUGGAAUUGAGCCUGGAGCUGUUUUGGGGAACAGAAAGGAAGAGGAAAUUAUACCUGUAACAAUGGCAGUCAGGCCUGUUCCAUCAAUCCCUUGAGUAACUUCUUCGGCCGUGGUACUAGCUGAGAAUCCAGAAGGGCCUUCUCUUUCAAAGAUCCACAUUUUGCCCUGAGUAAAGGAUUCCACAGCCAAUGAAUGUAUCUUCGUUCCCCUCGUUAAGAUUAUAACGAAUUGCUCAUGCAAUGGAUACUGUUAACUUCAUACAAUUAUAGCCAGCGGCUGACAAGGCUUUCCAAACUCUCAACGUUUUGAACUUUGUUAGCAACCGCCCUUUUCUUUAUUACUUUCAGGUGCAGAUAUUGUGGUCAGUAUAUCCAAAUGCUCUUACUUCCCGAGAUCUUAAUAAACUAUGCAAAACACAGUUGCCUUUUUCUGACCGUAGAUGGCUUCAACUUUCAGGCUUUGCUCAGCCAGCAAUGAUGAGUCGACGAAUGUUUCACUUGAAUUGGCCAACUAUCUGAUGACAAGACCAAGUUAAAACUGUACGAACUUCAGUUUGUCUUUUAUUACAGUUCAUGCACUAACGCCCGGAAAUUUGGACUUCUUGUUCUGGAACGGUCAACAUGUCCAUCAUCAAUCAGGUCAUGACCAAAAAGAAAAAAAAAAUUCGGUGGAAGAAUAACUCUUUAGGUAAUGUGCUUUGUACGGCGGUUGCAUAAUCAGUCAAGUCAACUUUGUACAGCGGUUGCAUUGCAUGUGAACGCUUGAAUCCAACUAGUAGCAGUGGAAGAGAGAGUCGCAGGGAACGAAUGAAAAAAUUCUGCUUGUCUCUGCUAUAUGGGGUUCUACCCGCUGAAAUUUGGUACUUCAUCUAAGAUACUGCUAACGCUCUGAAUGCGAUAUAAACUCGCCGUAUGAAUCUUUUGACGUAUUGAUCUUCUUCUUCUAUUAGAUCAAUAGACAAAGAGAAAUCUUGGGAUUGUUACCUUCAAGAAAUUAAUGCAUAGAAUUCUAUCUUUUUUUUGUGGAAGUCAGCAGACUUUUGACGACGUUUUACUAAUCUUAACCCCGUGAGAACUCUCAAAAGCCGGCAACUUUUGAAGGUCUCACAGGAGACUAAUAUACUAACCACCCAAACCCCCCCAACCCCGAUGUGGGACUUCAACCUCCACAAGGGAGCCUGCCAGACCUAAAGAGACCCCUUAGCCCCUAUAGCUUUUUUAAAUUUUGGCCUCGCUCUGUUUGGAUCCAGGAGUUUUUCAAAUACUAUAAAAAGUUUUAAAAAGUACCCUAAAAAAUAGUUUAAAUUUUUUAAUAUUUAAAAUAUAUUUUAAAAACUCUACUACUCUUAAAUAUUUCAAAAUAUUUUUUAAAAAUAUUUCAAAAUAUAAUCUAAAAAUUCUAUUACAGUAAAAUUUUUCAAAAAAUACUCACAAAAAUAGCUAACCGGCCAAUUUAUAAGCUUGAUUAAGCUUGCCGACCAAUUUUUAUAAGCCAGUUUACAAAACAUCCCGAAAGUGUUAUAGCAAAUUAUAGCAGCUACCAGGCCGGUAAGUGUUAUUGUCAUCACAACUUGACUAACCAUGCAGUGGAGCGGAGGAUUCCUAUCAUUGGCUGUGUUCAAUUUUGUUGACUAGAAUGACAUUUUAGAGACUAUAGGCGCAGUCCAACUAAUGACUGGAAAGGUCUCUUUUGCAUUAAUAUUAGGAAGAUGGAUGGUGGUACCAAGGCAGGCAUGACCUAGUAGUACGUGAGUGUGGGCUUUAGUGGCUUUUAUUUUAAUAGCUAGGGAAAAGCUACUUAUGUAUGUACCGCUUUAUUUUACUUCAACGAGACUCCUGGAGUUGGUCACCACCUUUAACGUGGGGUGGGAGGUCAAGGGUUCAACUCUUGCUUCUAUCAAAAAGUUGUCACUUAAUGUGAUUUUGCUUAAAAUCCAUGUGGGUGCUGUGCAUUCGUAUGGUCCGAUGAUGAUUUAGUCCUCAUCGGUUCCUCGUGAUCCUCUUGGAUCCCUCUCCUAGUAUAGGCUAGAUUAGGAGUAGGAGUAGGAGUAGGUGUAGAUGUAGGUGAUGACAAGUGACCAAAAAAAAAAAAAAAGAGACUCCUUUUCCUUUCCGGACAAAAAAAAAAAAAAAAAAUUAAGGGAUGACCUAGUAAAAGACUUUGAUGGACAAACCAAAAGCUACCGUACAAAUUUUGGAUUCUCAUUCAAGUUUUGUCUUCAUUUUUCCUGGCUGUGUGCAUGGCAGGGUAAAUCUGAAAAGGCACCUGAGAAAAAAAUCAUAAAUGGCUCUAACGUUUGUAUUUAUAAUCAAAAAGUUAUUAGUUUUUCUUUUUUUAAUCAUAAAUGACUUUAAUAACGUUUGUCUUUAUAAUCAAAAAGUUCCAAAAAAUUUUAAAUGCGUUCCAUUCUGGUCGUCAUCACAAGUCAGGACAUAUUCUCGAACAAUAGGCCGUUUACAGGAAUUCUUAUAAAUCGUGCAUUAACACAAUUUUCGCACUAACGAGAUUCAAAUAUACGAUUUUUGUAAGAAAAAAAAAAAGUGAUCCAUCCUUAGCAACUGAUCCGACAUGUGUUGGUAAGCAGAUCACAGCUAGCGGUGGUCCGUCCUUGCCUUUCCUUAACGUUUGUCAAAAAGCUAAUUAAGCAGAUUACUUGCACGAAAUAGGAAAAAAAAAGGUAAGGAAAAUAGCAUAGAAUAUGGAUUGUUCAAGUAGAUCUAUUACAAUCUUUGUCUAGCUCACGAAAAGAAAGUGCUCGGGAAAAGUACGUAAUUAACUAACCUCCCUGAUGAUUGCUAUAAGUAUCGAAUUUUCCCUGUACUCGUCACAUUGGAUUAAAUUGACUUAUCCUUUCUCAAGCAUAUAUUAGAUCAGAGAAAAUAUAUAAUCCCAGAACUGAAUCAUCAAGAACAUUGGAAAUUUGUCAAGCAUUAGAGGAAUUUUUUUUUUAAAGUAGUUUUUAAUUGGCAUUUGAGCCAUUAUUAAUUGUUAUUAUUAUUGACCAUAUAUAUAUAUAUAUAUACAUUUCUUGGAAGGAGGACAUGCACAUUGUUUUAAGUGGUGAGCGGUCACUAUAAAUUUAUUUUAGGUGGGUGCCGUUUUGGUGGCAUUACGACUUGUGUCAUGAGCAGUGCUACAAAACAAAGAGUCUAUGAAGCUUCUGAACCCACUAAAAUAUGUGAGAGAUGAAACGAACAAAUCAAAAACGAAGGGCUGCUAGCGUUCCUUGCCAAUUUUGCAAGGACAAAUGCUAUUUAAUAACCGGAAAUGUAGGUCAAAGAAUUUCCCUGCGAAAUUAUAUGUAGAUUGGUUCAUCAUCAUAAAUGCCAGCCGAUCUUUGGGUAUGAUUAAAAACGGUUAACUGUGGAGUGUGGACCACUCUCCAUCUGAAUAUGAAAAAGAAAAUAAACAAAAGGCAUAAUUCGGCAAAAGAACAAAAAAAAAUAGCCCACUUAUAGCCAUGGGAAAUUUUCUGUUAAGAGUUUAGAGAAUUCAAUGCUCAAGAACUUCAAAUCUGCUGGAGUUUAAUUUCUCAAAAAUUUGAAGCCCUACGUUCGAUAAUUAACGUAUUAAGAAUUUAAGAGCGAAUUUUCUUCUUUUUUUAAAAAAAAUUUUUUUUUUUGCUAAUUAAAAGGUUUUACUUCAAGGGAUAGUAGCAUAAGAAUAAUAAGAGUGUUGUGUUUGAGUUUUUAUUCCACUAAUAAUCGUUUAUUUUGUUGUAUUUGGAUUUUAUUCCAUCAACCUUUGAACAGUUAGUAGAAUAAAAUCCAAACCUAACAAAGAGCAUUCAUUAUAUACACAAAGAGCAUUCAUUAUAUACAAAUGCUUAUAAUUCAUUAAGCAAGAGAGGUUCAGCAAUGCCUACCAUCGAUAUACUUUUUUUUACUUCGAGAUAUAACCUACACCAAAAUUGAGAUUUUAUUCAUAUAUAUAAUAUAUAUAUUAGAAUGCAAUGCAAUAAUUUGAACUCUUGGAAACAAGAAAACCGAAAGAUGAAAUGCAGGGAUAAAAAAGGAUAUAUUAGAGUUACUGACUCUCGAUUCCAGGACUUUUAUGAACUGGAAAAUGUAAAAAAAAAAAAAAAAAAAAAAAAGAAGACAGAGGGACACUUGUGAUAAAUAAUCCGUUGUGAGAGGCACCCCUAAAUCGGUCGGUCUUGAUUACCAUGAGAUUGAAAUGUGGGUCCUAUUUGAAGUGAUCGAAUGACCAUCAAUUGAUUGAUUGUGGCCGUCCAUCACAAAGAAUUAUCUUUGGACCGUCGUAUCGUACCCUAAUAUGCAUCAUAUUAAUUAUAUAUUAACAAUUGCUCCGUCACCACAAUCGACCCCAUUAAGCAUUGGAGCCUCUGCAUGACAGGAUCCAUUACCUAGAUUCAACCCACUAUGAUCGACCCUGCCAACUGUAGCCAAUACAGGACUCAAAUCCCUUUCAUGCACAUUGACCUUGAGGCCAUUUUUCAUGAACAACGUCAAUGACAUCUUUUGCUCCACCCUGUGCCCGGGAGCCACCGUGAGCCGGUGGCGCAACAACACAGCCGCCGCUAUUGAUUUCAUUUGCAAGUAUGCCAAAUCUUUACCCAAACAAAUCCUUGGUCCAGCAUUAAACGCGACGAAUUUAAAUUGGUCAUGGGGUUCGAACUUUUGUCCAUCUUCUGAUAUCCAUCUUUCCGGUCUAAAUUCAAGGCUGUCUUCGCCCCAAACAUACUUCAUUCGCCCGGCGGCGUAUAUUGAAUACGUAACGCUUGAGCCCGCCGGAACAAAUGUACCGUCCGGCAGUAUGUCAUCGGAAAUUACGUGCUUGGAGUCUUGGGGCACGGAUGGAUAGAGCCUGAGCGUCUCGGACAAUGCUGCCUUAAGGUAAGUCAACCGCUCAACCUCUUCAAACACCAGGGGCUCUUCGAGCCACUUUGAAGUGUCACUGCCCCGUGUCCCUAUCAGAACGGUGCAGAGCUCAACCAAGAUUUUCUCCUCCACCCUGGGUUCUGGCCGACCAGCCAGAAGAACCAGCUCAGGGCCACUGAUGACGUGUCGCGUCCAGCUAGGAUGAAAUUGAGUGCCACGUGUUGGAGGAACUUAUCCGUGUAAGAUUCCUUUUUCUUCAUGAACCUGGAUAGUAAAUCGUCAUGAAGGGGCCCACCAUUCUGCUGACUCAGCAAUUCCAGCUUGCGCGUGUUGAUCACGUUGGUCAUGUAGUGGUCCACGUGUUUCAAGCUAUGGGUCAAACUCACUUCCAUUCCGAGCCGGAGCCACUUCUUGAGCUUCCAGAUGGACUCGGGCAAAAUAAACCUUUGCAAAGUGGCUUCUGUGGCUCGAUCAAAAGCCGUAGCGAAGCCGUUCUCCGGUAGCCCAGGAGACAGAGUCUGUGGGUCCUUCCCGAAAGCCAAGCCGCAUAUGUUAUCAAAAGUGAGCCGGAGGAGCAGGUCCUGAAGGUCAACGGGCUUGCCCUCAACUUGAGCCGCUUUAAGAAUCGGCAAAACCUCAGCUUGAUCGCCCGGCUCACCCACCUAGCCAUGGCUUGCCUGAGCGUCCUGGUGGUGAAUUCCAGUGCAGCAGUCUUGCGCUGGAACAGCCACGUGUCGCCGUCGGAGUUGAAGAUCCCCUCACCGAGUAGAUCAUGGAACACGGCUUGCCAGGUGGGACCCUUGGGUAAUUGUCGAACCUAACCUUCAAAAUAUGCUCUAAAUUCCUGGGGUCGCAGGUGACGGUCACGAGGCCUUGCUUCCGGGCUAAAAAUGGAACUGCAAAGAUGCAAGUCUGGUACGUGCCGCCACAUGACCGGAGGUUGUCGGCGAUCCAGUCGUGCAUGCGCUGAGAAUUCUGAAUCAAUCGGGCAGGCUGCCCAAGAUGGGCCACAAUCGUGGGCCCCGCCAGGACCUCGCUAUGAAUCUGAACCAUACAAAAUAAGCAGCUGCAAGUGACAAAACCAUCAUGACCGUCGAUGGAUCCAUCUCAGCUCCUUUUUUCUUUUUUUCCCAAUUCAAUUGCUUCACCAAUUCCGAUUGUAAAAAUGUAAUCCCGCUGUAAUAAGAGAACAAGAAAACCACUUUUAGACAAAAAUAAUAAUGAUGGUAAUUGUCACGUAUGGACAUUUAUUUAGUCACAUCGCUUUUCCUUGCAAGGCUUAAGUUUCGUUUAAUUCGAGUAAAAGGACAAUUAAUUAAUUAAUUAAAAUUCGAAAAAUGAAUAAUCAUAAUGCAAAAACUUGGCAUAGGCCUUCAUUGAAUUUUUUUUUUUUUUUUUAAAAAAAAUGGCAACGACGGUUGAUCAAUUAAAACUUGAAAAACCAACAUCCAGAAUGCAAAAACAGUUCUGAACUUACCAAAGAGUAUAGCUGAGGAUCAGUAAUUGUAGACUCUGAAAAUGACCCCAAACAUGAAAUCCCUUGUCAGAAUGAUUGCUGAAUUGGACGUCCUAUAUGUACUUCUUUAAAAAAUUCUCCGAGGAUUAGAGGAGAAAAAAAAAAGAAAGAAAAGAAAACAAGAAAAUGAGGUUGAGAGAGAAGAAGAGGUGGUGGUGGGGUGGAGAGAAGAAGGAAGGAAAUAUUGAAGUAGAGGUCUGUCUGUGAAUGGCAGAGGGGAAAGAAGAUAAAGUGAUUUAUAGGAAAGCAGGGAAAGGAGAGGCAAUAAAUGAGGGGCCGGACUGUUGUUGAAACUGGGGGGGAUAUAGAGACAUCAUGCAGCAGCAGAGAAGAAGAGAUUUAUGAUUUUAUUAUGUAGCAAUAUUUGUACAAUCAUAAUCAUAAUAUAUAUAUAUGGUAAGUACAGUAGUAUAUUACGCUCAUCUCUGUUUUUUUGUGCUGUGUAAAACGACCUUAAAAGCUUUUGCUAUCUCAACUGUAUAGUUCCACAGCUAAACUAAACAAAACCAGCUUUAAAGCGCCAACAUUAAAUGCCAUCAGGGGUCGUUGGAGGGAAGGGGGAGCCAAAAAUUAAACAGAGCCACGACUCACAAGCCCAAGCGGACACUCAUGUUGAUGAUGCUGAUGCACCUCCCCCUUCUCUUCUUCUUCUUUUCUUUUUUUUUUUUGUUUUUUUUCUGUUGCAACUUAUAUGGUGUAGUGCAAGUCUAUUUCAAAGACUUGGCCCAAAUACCACAUGUAUUUAUCACAAAAGAGAUAUCACUCUCACCGCCCCGCAGCCCCAUUGGAAGCAAUCUGUCAUGCCAAUGCAAAAGUCACUACAUGUAGUAGUAGGGGGAUUAAAUGAUGUUUUAGCGCCCUAAGUCUUGGACUAGUUUCAAUUUGUCCUUUAUCUUUCAAUGUUAACGUAUUUAGGCACCCUGUAUUUUAUAUAUGCUUGUUCAAUUAGGUCUCUCAUCUUUCAAUAGUUAUGCGUGUGCGUGCGUGCGUGCGCGUGUGUAUUUUGCUUCUUUUUUUUUUAAUAGUCUUAACUCUUAAGACAUAAACAAAGAAAAAGAAAGAAGAAGAGGAGGCGGGGUGGCGUGCUUUUAUUAAAAUAACGAUAAAAAAAAGCCUAACUGCUUGACUGUAUUUCGUUUGCAAUCCUUUAUAAUUUCACGUUUCAAAAAUUUUUACACUUUAGUAGUCAUUAAUUGUCCUCAAAUUAGCACUAAUUAAAUUUAAAAUAUUGAAAUGAGAAUUACAAAAGCACGAUCUAUCCCGAUUGUGAGAGAAUAACAAUCGUAUGAGUGAAGUAUAUACAAGGGACUGAAAUGAUGCUAGCACUAAAAUUCAGGGGCCAAACAUGAAAUUGCCCCAUGGAGUAUGUUACACGAUGAUUUUAUAAUACUCCUAGAAUGUUUGGUUUUUUUUUAUUAUUAUUAUUAUAUUCCUCUAUCUUAAAAAUGCCGUGCUCACCUAAUUUGGCUGGAAGAGCCCCUUAAAUUCCAGCAUUAAAUGUAGGAGAAAAGGUUAAAUGGAUUAGUUGAGAAAGUGUAUGAAGACCUAGGCGCAAAACACGUAGAGAGGAAAAACACAACAAAGAGAAAUAGUUUCUCUUUUUGCUGGAGCUGAUGAUGCAAACAGUUAAUUUCUUUGACUUUGAUUUCCUUCACUUUCGGGGUCGGCAAAAAAAAAAAAAGUGUUAUAGAUAAUAAUAACAUUUCCAUAUUUAAUACAUAUAUAUAUAUAUACUUUUACAAAGUUAAUGAAUAGGCCCCCAAAUCUGGUUUUAGGUUUCAUUCUUGCUUACGGUUCAGAAACUUAACAUGUGAUGUGAGAAGGACUUAAAGGUCUGGUGACCGCCUCACCUACGUUUUAAGGCUAUUAAACCCUCCUCUUCUACUUGCAAAGGCUUUUAAGGAUUUGCAUAAGUUGAGCCUAAUGUUCGGUUCAGUUUUGGAAGGUUAUGAUUUGCUUUUUCUCCCUUAUUAAUCUCAUCAUGUAUUCUCUUCCUCAUAUAUUUUUGUUGUUUUUCAACUUCUUAAAGCCUUUUAUUGUCACCUUUUAAUGAGCGAGUAGUUGUAACUUACAAAACCCUCAUGUCUUUGUUCAGUCACUACUGUUUUUCUUGUUCUUCGUCUUCAUCAGUAAUAAUUACUAUGGUAAAUAACCAAACAAUAAUGACCCGUAAUUUCUGUUCUGUAGUACUUAAUUUUUUUUUUUUUUGUAACAUUUUGCAAAACGGAUAGCUUAAGCAAUUUCAAAGAGAAGACCGCUUACUAGUUGUCUUGGAAAUCCAAUUAAAGUUUGAUACGUACUGACGUUAUAUGGCACUUCAACUUUCUGCUUUUAACGUUUUUGACUGUAUUAAUUAUGAAGAAUCCAAAAAUUUUGUCAUUCAAAUACCAGGUUGGGUAGCAUCAUAUUAUAUGGGGCUGUCAUGUUAGUGCUUCAAAGCUAAAGCUGCCAAAUUUGGUUUCAAAUUAAGAGUUUUUGUGUGAUUAAUCAAGGAACAAUAAUAAGUUAUGAAUUGGUGUUAAAAUUUAAAAAAAAAAAAAAAAAAAAAACCCUCCUCUCAUGUAUUCUUGGUAGACACAAUUUCACAUACCAUACUAGAGUUGAUGCGCUGCUCUUCUUACCCUUCGCCACAUUUGUGACGGUUACCAAUUUCACAUCCUAAUUAAUUUACCCCUACUAGUUCUAAUCAGUAGAGUUGGCUAAUGACAUUGGAACAGCCAGUAGAGCAGUCCCAUCAUCAAGAUGCAUAGCUGAUGCCAAACCAAUCAUUGAGAGUUUGUAUGCCAUGCAGCAGCAGCCGCCUUGAAUCUUGAUUUGCACUUAAGAGCACCAAUUCACAAAGGGGUCCGUCUGAAGCAACUUCUUGAGUUGAAUCUUGAUUAAAAUCGCGUCUGUUGAUGAUACUUACAGGUUUUUUUUUCUUGAUUUUCAAUGAAAUUUUCUUCCAGUCCAAUGUUUGGUAAUCGAUGCAAGAGUCGGCCCCAGGAAUUCAGAUUAUUGGCUUUCUUCCAUCAAUUGAUUAUGAAUGUUUAAUGACCUCUACAAUCUUACAUUCUUACCUAACCAGCACACAAAUCUAUAAUUAUGCUCAACACCUAAAGUUAGUCCCUUUGGAUCAAUACUUAUAGAUCGAUGCAAGAGUCGGCCCCAGGAAUUCAGAUUAUUGGCUUUCUUCCAUCAAUUGAUUAUGAAUGUUUAAUGACCUCUACAAUCUUACAUUCUUACCUAACCAGCACACAAAUCUAUAAUUAUGCUCAACACCUAAAGUUAGUCCCUUUGGAUCAAUACUUAUAGAGUAGGGUCUUCCUAAGUAAACAACGUGUGGAAGUAAGUGAUAAGCAAUCACCUCCCUGUAAAUCUAUCAUUUUUCUUUUGGUUCUCGUUAAAUUUAUAUUUAAGGUGGGUAUUAAAUUACAAUAAUUAGUGGAUUUUCUUUCUGAUCAUUAUUGCUUAACCCUAGGGAGAAAGAAAACCCUAGGGGGGUUUAGGCGCAUUUAACCCUAAAUAAAUUUUAAAAAAAAAAAGGAUAGAAACAAUACACUACAAAACAGUUCAAUUUUGGUGUUAGUUUGAUGAACUAAAGCAUUACUUUUACGUCCCGGUUGAGCUUCAGGUGAAGGGGUCCCUUCAAUUAAUAAAAUCGAAAUUUCUCAAUGCAUAGGUAGGGCAGGAUGAUGAGCAAUCAAAUUGAGGGGGCUACGAAUGUGGGAUAUGAAGAAAAUAUUCCAUCUAACUUCUAAGCUUUCUUCAAUGAUGUUUCAUAUUUUGGGACCAAAUUGGCAUUUAUCUAUUAUUGAUUGUGUAAUCGCUUGCCCAUUUCUGAGGCUAUAAAUGAGUCUUGAAUUUGGUUGUAGACCAUGUAAUAUCGGUGGCAAAUCAAAUUAUUAUCCAACACACACACACACACACACACACAUAUAUAUAUAUACUUCAAUCAUUUCAGUGUCGAUAAGUAAGUAUAUUACACAGUUCAGUUUUACUUUACACUCAAUCAUAUAUUUUCUUACCAGCAAAACAAAAGGCAUUGGAAAAAAGUUCUAGGUGAAAAACAGCACUUAAAAAAGUGUCUAAGUACACUAUCAAUUGCUUGGCUGGCUCUUCUACAUAUAAUAUAAAACAGUAGACUAGAUAAUCUCUCUAUAAGUUCCAAUUUCCAUAGUCUUCAUUGACUCAACUUACAUGAAUUUAUGUAAUUGAAAUGGCAACGUAUUUCAGAAAACAAAAUUCAGAUCAAACAGCGGUGGGCAAGGGCUGUUCGUGCACAGCCUGCCUCCCUUCUCUAUCAAUCACAAAACAAAAGGGGCAGUCAUACCAUAACGUGGCUUGGUAGAAAGUGUACACUUGUUGCCAAAGGAACAAAAAAUUUUUUGUUCUUUGGGGAGGGACCUAUCUGGAGGCUGCAAACGAGUCGAAUCGAGUCGAGUUUUGAGCUAAUCGAGCCGAGUCUCAACUAAAUUUUACCGAGCUCGAGCUCGACGAGCCAGCAAUUUUCGAGCUCGAGCUCGAGCUCAAAAAAAAUAAAAAAAUAAUUAUUUUAUUUUUAAAAAAAUAAGUAAAAUAAUAUUUUUUUUCUUAAUAAAUAAUAAAAUAUUAAGGAUAUAUACGUAAUUUUACUAUGAAUAAAAUAAAAAAAAAAAAUAUAUAUAUGUAAUAUACAUAAUUAUAUAUAUAUAUAUACUCAAACUCGCGAGCCGGCUCGUGAGCUAACGAGCUUAAUAUUUUGAGUUCGACUUCGAGCUCGAGUUUGACUCGAGUCGGCUUGAGCUCGACUCGAACUCGAUUAAUAUCAAGCUCGACUCGAGCUUGACUCGAGCCGCUCGCGAGCGGUUCGAUUCGUUUGCAGCUCUAUCUGGGAUGGAUGUUGAGCUUUCUGUUUGCAUCACAUCUAUCCAUCGACCAUUGUCCAAGCAUUUACUCAAGAAGUUAGCGAGUCCUCAGAUUUGGUGCUGGGCUGAGCCCAUGAUUCAUCUGAUCAACCUUUUGUACAUAUCCAUACAUUCUCUGAGAGUGUAUGAUCUUGAAUUUGAAGGCAAUGAGCAAAUUUUUUUCAGACACCCAAAUGAGCGAGUGGCUUCUGAAUUUUGUCCAUUAGAAUGCACACUGGUUAUUCAUGAGGAGGGUCCACCAAAAAAAAAAAGAUACAUGUACAAUUGUUUGGUAUACUUUAGCCUAGCCCAUAUGUCACUUGCCAAUUGCAGAUUUCCCCUUAGGAAAGACGCUACUGCAUCAUACUGCUGCAUAUCUAUUUCAGACUCGGACCGGAUAUCGACUUGAUCAAACUCAGGAAUCAGGGGUUCGACCGGAUUCGAUCAAGGUUGAAUCAGAUGACGUUAUAAAUAAAAAUUAUUUAAAAAGUAAAAUAUUGUAUGUAAAAUAUCUAAAAACAUAUUAAUAUUAAUAAAGGUAUAUUCAUAUAUAUAUAUUUGAUGUUUUAAAUAUAUUUAACAAGAAAAUACAAAAAAUUUGAGGUAUAAAGUAUGAAAUAUUUGAGGUAUAUUAAUAAUUUUUAACAACUUAGGAGUCAAAACAUAAUAUUGAAAAUGCUUGAUCUUUUUUUAAAUAGGCUUUGACUAAACCGGUUCUUCCGAUUUUUUCCUGUUAAACUCGAUUUUUGACCAGAUUUGAUCAAGUUUUUACCCAUGCGAUUUUUUAGAAUAACUCGGACCUAACACUUAGCCGGUAUCGACUUGGUCAAACUCAGGAAUCAGGGUUAAUGGAUUCGAUCGGAUUCGAUCAGGGUUGAACCGGAUGACAUCAUAAAGUAAAAUUAUUUUAAAAAUAAAAUAUUGUAUGUAAAAUAUCUAAGAGCAUGUUAAUAUUAAUAAAUGUAUAUUCAUAUAUAUUUGAUGUUUCAAAUAUCUUUAACAAGAAAAUACAAAGAAAUUAGAACGAUUAAGUAGCAAUUUAUAUUAUUUAAUGAACAUUAACAAGUUUAGAAUUAAAAUUAUGGACUUGAUUGAAAAAUAACAUCAGAUUUUAGGAUAACAUUUAUAAAGUAUGAAAUAUUUGAGGUAUAUUAAUAAUUUUUAACAACUUAGGGGUCAAAAUAUAAUAUUAAAAAUAUUUGACCUUUUUUGAAAAAAAAGGCUUUGACUGAGCCCGUUCUUUCACUUUUUUCUGGUCAAAAAUCGGGUUUGAUCGAGUUUUUACUCAUGCAUUUUUAAAAACUCGGACCGAACACUUAGCUGUUUUCAAUUCGACCGGCCGGUCCGUUUAAAAACACAUGUGUAUAAUGAAUGAGUCACGCCUCUUUAAUUAAUUAGACUUUGGGGAGGUGAUUAGCGUGUGAACAAUGAUAUUUUUUCAGUGUUUUGCAAUUCAAAGACGAACAUGGAGUCUCGAUAAACGCUGAAUUCGUGCUUAUUAUUAAAUAAAUAAUUGAUCACCCCCAACUUUUGUCAAACAUAAAUCUUCCAAAGAUAACAGUUGAUCAAUAUGACGUUUUGCCAACAAAACUUGUAAACUGCUAAUUGGUUGCUAAAAGGUCUUGACUUUUAAACCGCACGUUUCCACGAAAGAAAAAUAAGAGUCUACUUUCAUAAGAAACAAAAUUGCGUAUGCAUUAGGACCCAAAAAAAAAAAAAAGGAAUCAGCAGACGCUUUGAUUGGGUCAAGUACCAAACAACAUGCUGGUCUCUAAUGGACAAUGGAUAUGUGAUGCAGACAAAUUCAUCGCUAUCGCACAAAUGCUUCCAAUGUUGUUACGAGUCUUAUAACACAUGCUACGGAAUUAGUCCCCAACCCAGCUUCACGUUACUGUUACUCAAGUGAUCAUAAAUUUCUGAUUCGACUUUCAAACCCAGUCCCUUAAUUCCUUUUUAUUUGAAACACAAAAAAAAAGGAAAGAAAAAUGGUAAUGGAUUUGCAGAAGAUGAAUAUCAAAAACUUUAACCUUAGAUAUACUACUGAUAAACGCAAAGAAGUUGUUGAUUUAAACUCUGUAAUGGAUAGUCUCAUUUCCGGAGGAUAAACAUAAGACUUUUUGUCCUAAAGGAAUACACUCCAAUGACAUCUGAAAGAAGCAGCACAGUAAUGACCAACAAUGCAGUGUCCAUAUAUGGUACAGUACAACAGAGAAGGAAUCACAGCUGCUGUAUUGACAUAAUUUCAGAUGCAUCAACUUGUAAAUACAGGGCUUAAUUAAGUGCAAACAGUAUUUACAAACGAAUAUGCUAACUAAGAACUAUUUUACAUUUGAUACUAAAAUCCCCAAACCGAACUCUGCCAAACCUCAACAAAUUGCUGGUCCUUCCUGGUGACGAACAUUUUGUUACCCCCGAAAGCCAAGUUUGUUAUCCUGCUACCACCCAUAUCUUUUGCUCUUCCCAUGGAGUUCUUCCUAAAGACUCUGUCCUCUACUCUUCCAUUUUCACCCUUUAUAGAAGAACCAGUCAGAACUUCAGACCACAGCUCAAUGUUUCCUCCUUUGCUACAGAACACUUGAUUCCAUGGCUUUCAAUUUUACACCCUGAACCUUCCUUCUUUCCAUUGAUCACCUUUCUCACAUCUCCUAGACAAACCCACGAAUUCUCAGCAGCGCCAAUACUCCUGAAAUCAGUGAAAAACUUCACCAGAAUUCACACCAACCUUAAACAGGGCUGACAGACUAUCUGACGCUGUGACAUCAGAAAAGCAAUCAACCUUUUCCUUGACUUCCCAAACAACAUUUCCAGACCUCAUAUCCCAAAACCUAAUAUUCCCUACCACACCAGCAGGACCACUGUGGGAGCCAGAAGCCAUCAGCAAAUUAUGACUAGAAAUCCAUUGCAGCUUUGUUGCUGGAAUAGCAGAAUCCAGCUCAGCACCAAAAAUUUCAUAAUGACCAAUGGUGGUAACAGGCCUAAAACCAUCGUUAAUAUCAUAAACCAUAACGCAAUUGGAAUUUCUCCUACCAGACUCGAAACUUGUAAAUAAGUAUUCCGGUGAUGAACCAAUUGCCUGCACAGUCGAAGAAGACCUUGUCACAUUUUCCCAGUUCAAAGUUUCCUUCACAAUACCCUUGUCAAGGUCAAUGAUCUGCAACCCUGAGAAGUCCGUGGCACCAGCCGCUACUGUUUUGGGGGACAAUGCCAAUAGCGAAUCGAUGGCUGUAAAUUGAGUCAAAAUGGUUGAUUUUCUCUGCAAUGACCAAUCAAAAGAAGUGAUUUUACAACCAUUUGCCACAUGAACUGAUCCAAAUUGGGUUGUUGAGAUAGUUGAAGGCGAGUCCCUGCCACUCAAGGGUAAAAUCGUGGAUUUAUCAACAUUAAAGGCUUCAAACAGAGAAGGAUUUGAUUGAGAAUUGAUGAGAAGAUUCUCAAUACCGUAGAAUCUGGACUCAAAGAUUAGGUCUUGAACAUCAAAGGCUUUAGCUUUUGAUGGAAGAUUUCCGGUUCUUAGAAGGGAAAGGAGAAUAGAGAAAAGCUCUGGAUCUCUGUCAAUAAAAGGGAUUGUACCCUGCGAAUUGGACAAUUUGGAGAAAAGAGAUUUGGAACCAGCUAAAGCUAGGGUUUGUCGUGUGGUUUGGAAAAUCUGACCACCCACAUCAAUUGUGAUCACAUUAGAGAUUGAAUCUCUGGAGUUCUGGUAGAAGCCAUCCAAAUGAGGCUUGGGUCCUGCAAAAGGCGGCAUUUUUGGAGCUUCCACCCUCUGAGUUAUACUUUCUUCUACAGAAGUUUCAAGAAAUCUCAAAUUCAAGGAAGAUUAACAACAAAACUUGAAAACUCUCAACCCGAAUCUGCAAAAAGACUCAAUCUUGGGACAAUUAGAGAUGAUUGAAUGACGGGAAAAGCAAAAAUUCUCAAGAAAAAUGGAAUAAGGAGGAAAAAAUCUUUGUAAAAGCAAUUGAAGAAUAACUGCUUUCUCCAAGCUUCGAUUAUUAUGCUCGAUAGUUUAGCAAAGAGGCACUGCAGAAGAAAGAGCGGCGGAACCAGUAUAGCGAGAUGUAAAGAGGUUGGACAGAGAUUGAUGAUGGACGGCCGAAGAACAGGCAGGUGUUGAUUUUUGUAGGGGUUGCAGCGGUCUACCAUUCUAGAGGGUCAAAUAGGUGAUGGUUGUCAAGAAAGUCGAGGAAAGGGGAGAAAUUGAAUAUUUGACCGUAGAAAUAUAAAAUGCUGGUCAUAGCAGUCCAGGAUGGACCAUACCUCUGGUUCCGCAAGACUUUGAAGUUUGAAUGGAAAAGUACUCUGAUAUCUAUUUGUCAGAGUGCGUUAGUGGUUAGAACCUUCUAAAGGAGCAAAAGAAGUCGCGCUUAUUUUUAUUUUCUUUUGUCCUUUCAUUUUUGGAAACUUCUCAGCUGGGGUCGAUAAACAUGAAGAAAACUACAUGUAUGAAAAGCUAUUGAGAACGAAAAAUUGAAGGUACCACCUGAAUCUGGUCCAUCUACGAAACAUAUAAUGAUGAAAGCAUAUUAUUUUUUUCUCAUUUUUCUUUUUUUGGUAUAUAAUCCACAUGUUGUAAAAUUCUGCUCCAACAAACAAACAAAUAUGAGAGGUCAAGAGCAUGAUCGUCUAAAUAGGCAAAGUCAAUCUCAAUUCUAGUUUGUGAAUACAAACAAGAGCUGCAAAAAUAUGUUGAGAAAUUCUAUAUUAGUAUGUUUGAAGACUUCUCCUCUUAGAGUAUAUAGGCAAGUAAUAGAAUCUUGGAUUGAGGAUAUUUAAUUUAUUAUCAUUCUACCCAGUCACUACGUUCCAGUUUCUCCUUCAAUUACAUAUUUCCAUUUCUUUUUUUCUUUUCUCUAAAUCAGUCAAUGAGUUCGUGAGAGUCAAUUGCGACUGCGAAUAGCUAUUUUGCACUUGAACAAAUUAUUUUAUUUGGCUUCGUUUUGAAUCCCCACAUACAGAAAGCCCUGUUUGGUUCUGCCCAGAUUAUUUCAAGAAGAGUGCAAUUUCUUGUCAUUUAAACCGGAAUUCAUAUCGGUCCGAGCUUUCCUUGACAGUCAUGAGACGGCUUGUACUGGAUAUGCGAGACAUUUUUAUCUGUCAGUUCUGUACAAGGUGUAAAUUUUUAACCUUUCUAUAUAUGUCUCUUUCCCACAAAAGAAAAUUUACAGACUUUACACCUACACUGGCUUCUUAGAGCAUAAUUGCACUAAAGUCGCACACUCUUGCUACUUAAUUGUCCGGAGCCAAUUUUGUGUCUGCCCUUGCAAAUAUUACUGUCAACAGUUCACAAAUGCCGGCCAUGGUGAGGCAUCGCAUGGUGCCGGCUUUAACUCAUCUCUCGUAUAUGGUCAAGCACAGUAAGAUUGAUUUACAAAGAGAACAUUGUCAACUUGUUGACACCCAAACAAAAGAAAAUUGACAGUGUCAAAUUGCAUCAACUAUAAUAUGAUUUAAAAUUUGGAUCUUGCAACGUGACGAGCCAAUUAAUUCUAGGGUCGAUGAUGUUAUUCAGGGUAAAAUACAAACCCCAAGAGUCCAAACAGUUGGCAUGAGCGCUUGGAACAAGCAACUCACCUAAUGUCGGCACAAGUCCAGGCAACUGAGGAACUCAAUGAUUAUCCAUCGAGACUGCUUCAGUAACUGAUGCGCUAGGACAAGAAUUGGCAGCCUCACUUCCAUUCUGCAAAUAAAAUGAAACAUGAAACUGGAGUGACGUUGCAAUUUAGUGCAGGGUCCGUUGCAACUCACGCAGUUUAUGCAACCAUGUAUUGGACGCUAACAAAACUGAAGUCAAAACCUGACAGGAUAUGGAGCUUGACGAACAUAUUCAGGUAAGCACAGUAGUAUCCUCCAAAGUUUCCAGAUGAAAUAAGAUUAGAACACUACGCCAAACGAAGAGAGAAACACAAGAUUAAACUGAAGCUGUUAUGUCGUCAUCAUCAUGGGCUGCAUUAAAACAACUGUUCCAUCCAUAGCUUAUUAUAUUACAUAUCAAAAAGGAAAAGCCAAAUAUCUAGAUCAUGUUAAUUACUAUUAUGAAUCUGCUUUAGGUAGAGGAUAAGGAGAUGCAACAUCCUCACUAAAUCUUAAUAUUACCUCACCUUCACUCGUUUCUACGGUCAGAAAUGUGCAAAAAACAGCCUCCAUUUUUUGGU
This 61394-nucleotide long non-coding RNA is filed under the name Coffea arabica (coffee). Its description in RNAcentral is "long non-coding RNA (CARA_LNC006115)". Lineage: Eukaryota; Viridiplantae; Streptophyta; Magnoliopsida; Gentianales; Rubiaceae. The record is from RNAcentral.